UUUUUUUUUUUUUUUUGGCGUUCCUGAUGUGGAAAAUGUUGAAUUCUUGUUACUUUUACCUUGAACUAGAACUUUUUUUUUUUUUUUUUUUUUGUUAUUUUGGCCUUUUCGUCAUUUGAAUUUGCUUGAUUUUUCUUUUGCUUUUUCCUGACAGGUUGUAUGCUUAGAAGGCUAUGCCUUAGGUAGUACCUUAUUUAGAGGCUAAGAGUAUCUUGGUAGAAUUAAGGAUGGAGUUCUCACCCAGAUAGAGAAACUAAUUGUAUGAGUUCAAGAGAAAUGAAAAGCGGGGUUGAACUUUUGGUUCAUCAACAGGGGGAAAUAGAAAGAAAAAGAAGGAUAAAGAAAUUAAGGAGAGUCAUUUUUUUUCCCUGUAAAGAAUUAAGGUUUAUGGGAUUUCCAUGAUCUUGCAUGCUUGUUCUGCAGAUGUUCUCUGGUUUAAGGAAACUGGAGAAAUUUUUUUAAUGCAUUUUAACCAUGCAAGUUUUCCACAGUUGAUGGUAAGAAAGUAAUCAGACCUAUAGGAUAUUUGGGUAGUUUCACAAAUUUGCUACAAGCAGACUUGUUAAAAGUGGAUGUACAAACUAUCUGGGACUUUCAAAGGAUGCAGAUUAUCAUCAUUCUGGUAUAUGCCUGACUCGAGAUAGUCCACAUUGCAAAUUUGUGGCCUUCCGCUGUAUUUGAAAAUAGGGGUCCAAAGACUGGAGAUUUUUUGAGCUGCACAUAUGUGCUGUAGCGAACGUGUUCAUGUUAGAUAUUCUUUUGACUCGGGAUGAGAUCUGCAAGUUCUUGACGUGCAAUGUUCGCAUUGUAGUGGCAUGCUGUCCAAAGACAGGAGAUUUUUUGAGCUGGACAUAUGUGCUGUAGCGAACAUGUUCAUGUUAGAUAUUCUUUUGACUCGGGAUGAGAUCUGCAAGUUCUUGAUGUGCAAUAUUCGCGUUGUAGUGGCAUGCUCAAUAUCUUCAUGUUAGACUUCGUCUAAACAAAAAAAAGGUUGAUAGCUUUCAUGGUUGUAGAUAGAAUUAAACAAUAAGAAAUUCAAAUUUGUCAAUCCAGUGGGAGAUUUGAAAUUGUUGAUAGCACAGAAAAUUCAAACAAGAAAUAUGAAGUGUUUGGUUACAAGUUAUAAUCUGAUUAAUAACUUGAGUUUAUACUCUGUGUUGGGCAUUCAUAGUUGAGAAACUUCUAGAACAAAUUCUUUUCUAGUUGGAAUGACAGAUUAGCUGUUCUUGGGUGGUGUUAAACUGAACUUUUGACAUUUUGAUAUCAUGCUUUUGAAAGGAGAGUAAGAAGAGAGGGGCAAUGUAUCUUCCUAAGAUUGGACAAACCUGAUAUUUACUGAUGGUUCAGAAAACACUAUGUUCUGCUGAUUCUUUUAUGUAUUCAUAUCUAGUUAAAUGGCUUUGUACAAUCUGUAGGACAGCUUUCUCCUGCUUGAUUUGAAAGGGGAACGUAUGAUUAACAAAAAUCUCAUAGGCUUAGCUUCUUACUCUGUCUUUUUUACUCUAUAGUUUAUAAGCUUGAGCUGGCACAACUUAGUAUUGUCAGACUAAGAUCUGUUCGCUGUGUCAAACUAUUUUGACAUUGCUUUCCUUGUUUGGGUUCAAAGUUACCUUUUCUAACAUUAUGCAUUUGAACAAUGUUAUACUGACAUGCAGCAUGAGAUGUUGAUAAAACUUCUACUUAUUCAGUAGUUGUAUUCUUCAAUUUCCAACUAGAAGCAUUUGUGAAAGUCUUUACAUUCAUUUCUUUCUGAUAGGGUGUUUUUAGCUCUUGCUGGAUGCUUCCUGUGAAUUAGAUUGUUUUCCUCUGUUUCAAGUACUACUAGGAUUUAGGAGAGGUGUAAAAGAAGAGUUGAAAUUAAACUACUAGAUUAAAGAGAAAGUGUGAAAAAUGUUGGAUUACUUUGCGUGAUACCUAAAUCUUGAAGGGAAAGUAGGAACCAGUUAAGGUAACUAAUGCUUUUUGGGGAAUAAGAAGUUGGUUGAGAAAAGGAACUGAUACUAUUUUAUUUGCAAAGUCCCAUUUGAGUAAUGUAAAACAUUUGAUUGCUGCUUACUACAUAUAAUGCCUAAAGGUGGACUUGGGGUAAUGUCAUUUGUUAUGUUUAAAAGUAGUAGCUAUGUGUCACUAAGCUGACUACUCUCCCAACCCUAGAUCAAUAAUUGGGGGGGGGGGGGUCUUAACAAAACAUGCUCAUGGAGUGUGUAUUAAGCACUGUUGAAAGGGAAAAUAAGAAAUGUGAGGUAGGAUAUAUGAAAUAUUAGAUAUUACAAUUCUGUUAUUGCAAAUUGUAAUAUCAUUCAGACUAAGGUAAAAGAAGUCAAGUCUUCUUGAGGAUCAAGGAGAUACUUUUUGUAAGAGUGCAAAUGUUUGAAUUCAGUUAUUGCUCUUUAUCAAUAAGAUUUGAUCCACUACUCUUGUUCUGGUUGAUGUCUUUGAACAUACAAAACUUCUUAUACCAUGUCCAAGAUGAUAGAGCACUGCAUAUUCUGGUCUAUGUCAAAUUUGCAAUCAAUCACGAGGGCUUUUUUUGUUUGUCCAGGAUUUGGAUGUGAUACUGCUGCAGUUGUCAAUAUUCUUGCCCAUCGAGAUGCAACACAACGUUCUCUAAUUCAAAAUGAGUAUAGAAGCAUGUAUCAUGAAGCGCUUAGCAAACGGGUGUCUUCAGAGCUUAGUGGUGAUGUCAAGGUAGUAAAAUAUAGUAUCUUUGCAUUUUCUUUAUGUUCUGGAAACUUUUCUAGUUGAUUGUAUGUACCAAUAUUACAUUUUUAUACUUUAAAUAACUGUCAAAGUAACAAAAAAAUGACUUGAAUAAAAGCUCAGCAUCCUGCAGAAAGAAAGCAAGAUCAAUGUGGGAAAUAUUUGUUUUUUGAAUUUGCAUUCUUUAAAUUACUGACAAUGUAUUUUGGGUACUUGCUUCAGCGGGCAGUCCUACUGUGGCUGCAUGACCCUGCAGGACGGGAUGCUACCGUAGUAAGACAGGCUCUGCACAGUGAAUUGGAUCUGAGAGCUGCCACUGAAGUAAUAUGCUCCCGUACUUCAACCCAGAUUCAGCACUUCAAACAAGUUUACCACUCACUAUUUGGUAGUUAUCUGGAACAUGAUAUUGAAUAUCAAGCAACUGGAGAUCACAAAAAGGUUCUCUCUCUCUCUCUCUCAGAGCUGGAGGUGAAAAAACUAUGGUUGUGGCAAUUUUCUUGUAGUUCUAUUUAAAGCUUCAAUUGCUUUUCAUUGGAAUACAUCAAUGUGAAUCUGGAGGUAUUAGAAUCAUUGGUUUUUUAAUGCCUGUGCAAGGGAACCUGUGGACUGAACCUGUUGCUUUUCACUAUAAUUUUUUCAUUUUUAUUUACGUAAAAGCCUUAUAUUACCUUCUCUGAUGUAACAUUUGUCGGCAUACAUUUUGUACUUUCUUGUGGCAUUGGUGUCUUAUACUCUUCUGCUAUUGAUUUUGGUGUCCUAGUACUACGUGGCUUCUAUUGCUAGUUGAGUAGUCUACCUAAAGAAGUAAUUCAUCGAUCUGUUAAUAUAUAGUCCCAAAGAAUCUAUUGACCUUCUUGAUAUGUAUAGCUUUCUAGCAUUGAAUCAGUGAAGAGGCCAUGAGGUCGAUUUCUCUUUGCAACUUGGUAAAUUUGAAUUGAAAUUCUGCCAAAGCAAACUUCUUUGUUAGUUCUAUAAUGUUUCAUUAGCAGCAAGUCAAAGAACUCUUUAAUUAACCAUCAUCCUUCAAUUAUACUCUAAUUUUCUAAGCCAUUUUUUUUUAACAUAAAAUGCUACAGAAGAGGUUGUUUUAAUCAAAUUCUAAGACACUUUCUCGAUUUACUGGCUUCGUGUAGCUUCUACUUGCAUAUGCAAGUACACCACGCUAUGAAGGCCCAGAAAUAGACAGAGCAAUGGUUGAACAUGAUGCUAAAGCUCUCUAUAAAGCUGGGGAGAAGAAGUUGGGAACUGAUGAGAAGACUUUCAUUCGCAUUUUCAGUGAAAGAAGCAGGGCUCAUUUGGCUGCUGUUGAUUCUGCUUACCAUAGCAUGUAUGGAAACUCACUUAAAAAGGUAAAUUUUCCCAUUCUUGUCUUCUCUCAGUUCAGCUUCCCUAUAACCUUAGUGUCUUAAGUAUGAGACGUUUUGCAGGCAGUGAAAAGCGAAACAUCUGGGCUCUUUGAGUUUGGCCUCGUGACUAUCUUACAAUGUGCACAAAACCCAGCUAAGUAUUUUGCAAAGGUAUUAUCUCACUAUCCUUAAACCAGAAACGCUGGACUUUACAUGUAAAUCUGUGAAUCAAUUAAGUUGUGUGGUGCUCUCUUAUGAGUCCAUUUUCCUUUGCUGUUUUUGAUCUCCCGAGAUUAUCUCUCUCUGCCAUGCUAUGUGAAAUCCUUCUGGUCCUUUGUUGUCUUCUGUUACAAGAUUUAUCUUAUGCAGGGUCCUACAUUCUUGUAAUCUGUUUGAAAUUUCCUUCAAUAUCAAAUAUUUACCUUCUGUAUGCAAAAAAUUUUUGUUUCCAUGAUAUGCAUUUGAUGUUUUCUAGUAUUUCACAAGCCUAUAGGGAUUCUGUGGUUUCCAUUUCUCCAGCUAAACAUGUACAUAGGAAGUUACGCUUCUUGUUGUCAUUCUUUUACUCUUUAAAUUUAAUACUCUCCAGGUGCUGCGCAAAGCAAUGAAGGGCUUAGGAACUAAUGAUACAACACUUAUUCGCGUAAUAGUGACAAGGACUGAAAUUGACAUGCAAUACAUCAAAGCAGAAUACCGAAGGAAACAUGGGAAAAGUCUGAAUGAUGCUGUUCAUUCUGAGACCUCUGGUCAUUAUAGGACUUUCCUGCUUUCACUUCUGGGACCAAAUCACUGAUAGAGAAGGCAUAUAUUGGUGCAGUAUCAGCUACACAGUCAAUUCCAGAAUAUGGAGUAUGGUGUGGAUUGUGUAGAUAUGAGUUGCUGUGGUAGAAUAUUAAACUCUGUAGGAAUUGCUGAUUGUUAAUCUCUCCUGUCUUCCCUCCCUGUAUCAGUCACUCUCCUUAGGUCCAGAAUGGCAUCUGCUGUUAAGGAUUUUUAGUAGUUUUCUCUAGAUUGCAUUUACUGCUCAUCUGACAUUGUCAACUGGUUUUUGUGCACAAUUUGUGUUGUUUCAAGGCCCUUGUUCUUCUGUUUUUGGGUUGUAUCUGUAUCUUUGUUUUGAGUCUUUGCAUCGGUGAUAUGCCUAGUGGGAUAUGUCAAAAUCCAUCAGGAAACCUAAUUUUCAAAGCUUUUACCAUCUGUAACCAAAAACAAAGACCUCCAUUGUGUGAUGAAGAAAAUUUUCAUUGAAUCUCACCUAGAUUAUAUAUGUAUAUUCUCUUUCCUUUUUCUUUACCCUAAUAACCUUUUCCGUAAUAAGCUCCCUCUUUGUCAAAUUAGCUCUAACUAAUUGGAAGAAAGACACAAACCUAAGGACAAUGAGUUCACUGGUCAAGCACAACAAUUUUCCAAUGCAAUAUAUUAUCAGAAAUAUACGUUAACUAUAUGAAAAUAGUGGAUUAAUGAUGCCUCAAAUUAAUAUUUUAAAUUUGAUUUAAAUCAAUAUGAGUUGAGCGAUCAAUGUUCAUUUUAAGGGUAGCUAGUAAAGAGGUAAGAGAAAGAGAAUGAUCCAAUGAAUGAAUGUAACCUAACUUGAAGGUUUGAUUCGAUUGUUAAAUCUUUGGACUAUAUUGCUGUGUACCCCAAACAUUAGAGGUCAAAACUGCAAAUCCGCUAUAAUGGCAAGCUUUUAAGAAAGAAACUUUUUAAAGAUUUCCUUGACUCGUUUCUUAAUUACUUUUUUUAUUUCAUAGACAUCAUAUUAUCACAAUAUUCUUCUAUAAAACUUUUUAAAAAACUCCAAUCCAAAUGGGCUCGCUCUUAACAUUUAUAUCCAAGAUUAACAUGGUUGUUUGUUUCCUCGUUUAUCAAUUAAUUGGAAAAUUUUCUUCUAUUGCCUCAAUAAUCAAAAACUUUAGGGACGAAAUGACCUUUUGGUGAUACAUGGGAGACCAUAUCUGUCAACCUGCCAAACUUUGUAGAAAAAAAAAAUACAAGACUUUCUUUCUUUCUUAAUUUAUGAAAUGCUUCAAAACAACCCAAAACAACCAGAACCAGGAUAAACUAGCUGACUAGUGAGUACUGAAGUAGUUUUUAUUUUAUUUUAUUAGAGAAGUAUAUUCCAUGUCUUUCAAUUUCUUGAAAGCAGUACCUCUGAAAAUGUCAUUGUCCUGUAUAGUUUGUUAUUACUUCUAGUUACAGUUUCAUGUAGGCUUUGCCUGGGACUGUUUUUUUUUUUUUUUUUAAACUAUAUUUUAAAGUAUGUUUCUUAUAGAAGUUUAUACCAAAAAAAGAUGUUGUAAUCUAGAAGAGGAGGAAGGUUUUUUACUAGGACACAUACUAACUGGAGUUGAUUGUGUGCUACUCCAAUCAGAAUACCAUUUUCAAAAGAAGCUUUUGUCUCUUUGAAACAGUUUUGUAAAUUCUUCCCAUCUUUGAAUGCAUAAUAAACAAAUUUAUAUCUUUCUUGGGGAAUUUAAAGACUGCACAUUGUUUUAACAUAGGCCAGUUGAGUCUUGAGAAGUUAAAACAGCAUCUUCUAAACCCCCACUAACUUGCCAAAACAGUUGAAAAAAAAAAAUGAUGGCAGAUGUAUUGUCAUUUUAGCUUUUAAAAAUUCCAUCAAGUUCCCUAUUAAUUUGUUUGAAAAAAUGACAUUAAAAAUUAAUUGGAUUCAACUGUUAAAUUCAAUAAUCUUUUCAGGAAUCAGUGAAUUAAAAUACAAAAAUUGAUCAUUAAACAAGAUUCUAAAAUAAAUCAGAAUAAAUUAGAAAUAAAUAGAUAAAUGUAUUGAUAUAAGUUGGAAUAAGAGGCCAGGAUGGUCUAAACCCUAAAUCCUAAACCCUAACCUCCCUUCCCAUCUUCAUUGGCUUAGUUUAGUCCUCUAGAGUUGCAUUAAAUCCAGCUACUACAUUCCUUUCUUUAUUCCUAACCAACAAAAUCAUGCAUUCUGGUUUGAUUAACGUGGAUUGAUUAGGACCUUCAAGUACAAUUAAGACGAAAAAAAAAAAGAAUCAAGUGUAAUUUGGUAAAAUCACGAACUAUUUUGAGCAAUUACUGUGACAAUUUGGUGAAAACAACAAUAGGUUGUAUUCUAUACAUCAAGUGAUUAGGAAAAAAGAUUUUUUGUCUUGCACAUUAAAAUGACCAAAUGUAUAGACAAUUGCUCUAUUUUUUGCUCAUUGCUGUAUGUGAGAUUCUCAAUUUGUGUAGACCAGAUUGUUGCAGCUGACGUUUGAGGAACUCGAAAUGAGUUUGUUCUUUUUGGCAAAUAUGGCAGGGAUCGAAUAUUUGGUAUUGAAUAAAUAAUUUUUGUUGCCAAACUAAAUAAUAAUAAUAAUGGAAUUUGAAGCCCAAUAAGUGAAUAUGCUAGAGAUGUAAAUAAGGUUGCACGCUUUUUAGCCCACUAUGCUAGAACUGUUAACCUUAAUAAAUCUCUUUGAGAUUUCCCUCUAGAUUUUGUAAAGCAAAUUGUGCCGGAUGAUUUCCACCAAUUCCAUUAGUGAAUUUUCGUUCCCUUUUUUAUCAAAAAAGAAAAAUUAAUGUCCCUGUGCCAAAAUAUCAUCAUAAAAUUCUCUUUAGUGUUCAAUACCAUCAAAAUUUUGACCUUUGUAUUUGAAGUGUUGAAAAAGAAUUCACCGGUGGAGUCGUUAUAAUCACGUAUACGCAAUCAAGAAGUCGUGUCUAGAUUACGUAUGUGCAGAAACACUUUCUAUUUCUGGAAAUGGAAAAAAAAAACGAGAAAGAUAAUAACUUUUGUCAACUUGCAUAAAAAAUGGCUACAACUUUUGAUGCGUAGUAAAAAAAGAUUAAGAACCUUUUGAGUUUUCAAACUUUACUAAUUCUCUCCAAAUAUGCACCAAAAUUCCUAAAGUUUACUGGAGAGAAUGAAUAAAGUUUGGAUGUUGAGAAGGUCCUUAAUCUUUUUUCAAUCUUUUUUCAAUGUGCGCUAAAAUUUGUGAGAUUUUUUGCUCCUGAAAAUCUAAACUUACUGUUAAUCUAGAUGCAUUUUUGGCUAACUUAACACCGGAAUUUUGAUGGAAUGACCGAAAAAGACACAUUUUUAUGAGUUCGGUAACCCUUUUAGCCAAAAAAAAAAAAAAAAAAUUGAAUGACCAAAUGGUGCAAUUUUAAAUAAUUGAGUAACCUUUUUAACCAUUUGCUCAAUUGUAAAAGCUCUCACCUAAUAAUCAAGAAAAACUUUUUUCCUCUGAUUUUUGUGUUAAAUUUUGAGCAGAAAAUGAUCCCCCCCUUGGACUUACGUAGCUCAAAGGAAGCUUCCUUCCAUCUCCACCCUACUGUCCCACCCUUUUGUCUUAGUUAUAUAAGCAACCUUUAUGCGGUUUCCCUCCAUAAUAUAAGCAACCUUUAUGCAGUUUCCCUCCAUAAUAUAAGCAACGGUUACUCAGUUUCCCUCCGUAGAUCUUCACCAAACAGCCCUGAUCUUAAAAUCUUUGCAUAAAAAUAACCCCUUGGACUUGCAUAGAUCAGGAGGAAGCUUCCUAGGUACCAUCCUCCCGAGUCCUACCUUUCUGUCUUUGUUAUUCAAGCAACCUUUUCUCAGUUUCCCCCGACACAUCUUAAACCAAACAACCCUGAUAAUUUAACUCUCUUGGAAGCUGUGUUUCAAACCACAUCCAUGGCUUCCAAGAACCUCCAGAAUAUCAUUCUUCUCUACAAUAUCAUUCUCAUUUGUGGGCUGUGUUUGGUUUACUCAAAAGCUGAACUUCCAAGGUUUGAACAUCCCAUCAAACCUGAUGGAUCGCUCAGUAUUUUGGUUGUUGGAGACUGGGGAAGAAGGGGAGCUUAUAACCAAACAGAAGUUGCAGCUCAGGUUCUUAUUUUUCUGUAUUUAUGGAAACUCUUGAUUACAGUUGGCCGGAUGAUAUUUAGAUCAAAUUUUUAGAUGGUUUGGCAAAUAUUCUGGACUCCAAGAAAAGAAAAAAAGAUAAUAUAAGUUUAAACAAGUCAUUGCUAAUUGUUCUUGUGGGGUUUGAAAUUUUCCAUUAAAUUAUGAGGUAGAUAAAAACAAAUAAAUGUUGUCAUAGUCAUUAUUGCAGUUUGGUAUUAGACUGCAUUAGUUUUGGACACAAGGAUAAGUAUAUGACGCAUAUAUUUUGUUGCGCUGAGUGCAUAUUUGAGCUCAGAUGUUUCAUGAUUCUUCCCGUUUUGGUCGGAACUGAGCGUAACCAGACACUAUUAGGACAUUUUUAAACAAAAAAUAUGAAAUGACAAAAUCCCAAAAGAAGAAAAGAUUAACAAUGUCAAUCUUAGGGCAUCCACAGUGACAUUCAUAUGCUAUAUUAGCAUUCUACUAUCUCAUCUUUUAUCAUACUCUUACUUACAAUGGAUUACACUCCAACACGGUAUAAUGGUAUAGAUCCACAAUCAAAUCAAACAUUUAUUUGGAGCAAUUAACAUAUUUCUAAAACUACUAAAAUUCUCAUCAAUAAUCACAAAAUAUUGAAAUUUUAGAAAAUUGUGCAAAGAGGUUGAGGAAAAUGAGUGAGAGAGUAAGAGAAAUAAUAUGGUAGAACAGUGAGAUAUGAAAAAAACAAAGGUGUCUUAUGUGUUUAUAUAGAGAAAAUAAAAAAAAGACCGUUAAAAAAAAAAUUAAACGUUAACUUGCACUAUGAAAUUUUAUCCGUUGUAGAAAAAAAGCCCACUAUCUCCUUUUUUUCAGCAACAUUUAUGCACAUCAUUCUGAUGACACGUAUAAUGCUCAUUACACGGCCACAAUGGAUGGCCAUAGGAUGAGUUCGUGUCAUGGGAGGUAUAAUACUAAAAUUUACUGGGAUCAAAUAAGAUGCAACUUUAAAAUUUUUUAAAUUUUCUAAACCUAAAAUCGAAUUUUUUUCAAAGUUAAGUGGGGUCAAUUGAUCACCCCACUUGCUUACAAGUGGUUUCGCCACUGUGUGUGUUUGUGUAAAAUUGUUAUUUUAAAAUUCAUGCAUCAAGUUUAUUAUCACAAAAAUUCUAAAUCUACAUCUUUUUAAUCUUAAAUUUACAAGCUAUAUAAGUUUUAUUGCGCACAAUACAAGUCCUUAAUGCAUUCAAGGCAUGAAUUUUAUAACAUGAGAGUGUCAAUUUAAGGUAUUAUUGAGUUUAGUUUUUUUAAGCCAUACCAUUACCAUGUGUUCUAGUUUCUUGUUUCAUAAAUAAACUAAAUGAUAGGUGUCUGAGUGGGGGUGGUUGUGAUCUGAUGAUACGUGGAUUUUGAGAAUCCAUUGGAACGAACAUGAUAUUAACACAAUAGUUCUUAAGAAAUUGUAUUAACACUGUAUUAGGUUAUAGCAUAGUCAGAAAUCAACUAAAUAAUCAUCUUUUCGCCGCUAAUUAAACAACAUCUGGCCAGUGCAUGACGAAACUAAACCAAAAUACAUCUCAUCAUUUGCUUUAGGACAAACAUAAAAUAUAUGUAGUAUAAUAGUUCUUAAAAAAUUGUAUUGACUGCGUAUUAGGUGGCAGUAUAUGAUUAGAUAUGGAAGUAAUCAACAAAAUAAUUAUCUUUUUACUCCUUAAUAAUAUUUGACCAGUGCAUAACUAACCUUAGCUUUUCUCCCAUGCACGUAGCUUUCAACUUUGGUCUUGUGACGCUUUUAGCGUCCAAUUAAAGAACGUUUCUUGUCAGCAAAUGUAUUGUUGCCAAAGUUAUUACGCUUUCGUGUUGUGGUUUUUUUCUUCCUGGCGAAUAGGGAAUAAUUCCAUAUAGAUGCCAUUAAAAAAAAAUCCAUAUAGAUUCUUUAAUUAUUCUCUCCACAUAAACAAGCAUAGGAACCUAGUGGGACAUGUGGACUAAAAUUGCACUUAUUCACCAUUGAGAAAGUUGAGAUUUUUCUAAUUUCUUUUUCAUCUUGAUUUAUGCUUGAUUUAAUUCAAUAAAAAUCUAGGACAUCAAUGAUUAAACAGCAUUUUUUUUUUCUCUUGGUCACAAUUGAGUUAUAAUUCCGGAGCCCAUGAUAAUGCGUAUUUGAAUAAGAAUUUAGUACUAUAUAAUGAUAGAAAGGGUGCUAUUUUUCUUCGUAAUCCAUCAUACUACAUGGCAUUCAUGUCUAAUAAAAUAAUUCUAUUGUAUGCAUUUAGCUUCAAGCUGAAAAUUGAACCAAAGUGGCAGAAAAAGAGGAUAAAAGUUGCAUUGUCUAAUUGUCAAAAUACUAAUACUCCAUACUCCAGAGAAAGAAAAUGUGUUUCAUUUUUUCCUUUGUCUUGCUAAGGUAAACUUGAUUUUGAUGUUAUGAAUAGAUAGAUUGAUUACAUUAAUUCUAACAGCUUAAAACAACUCAUCACUUCGCAACUAUACAAUGUAAAAAGCCAUCUAAAACAUCUUUUGCGGAUUGCAUUUUCGUUGCUUAAGCAGCCUAUAUAUUGUGCAAGCAAGCUACAAUCCUUUGCAUCAAACAUACUACUAAUUCAUUAGAACAAGAAUUUUUCUAUUGAAAUAUCCUGCAAUUCCUCUCUUGCAAUAGAAACUAAAAAUCACCACAGUUUAUCAAAUCAACUAUACUAAGUCAGUAAAUGUGCUAAAAAGGUGGAUAUAAAAUAAAAAAUGCUGAAUAGACUCCUCCAAAAAAACAUAGGAUCCACCGUUUGUCCACUAGCAUCUCCAAAACUAGUUUCUUUUUUUUUUUUUUUGAGUCGUAUUAGUUGUAGAUAAAAUUGUUCCCUAAAAACUCCUAGAGGUUAAUUUACUCAUACUCUUUCAAUGUUAAAGGAGCUAAAUUUGCCCAUCCAUUUGCUAAUUUUGCAACCAUAAGAUCUUUAAACCCCCUUAAAUGUACAUAGCAUCUCUUUUGUUUUUCUUUUUGAGUAAAAAUGUUACAUAAACUAGACUAUAGGAAAUUGGAUGAAUCGAGAUGCUAAUGCAAAUGUAAUUAGACUAUGAUUUUGGUUUAUAUAUACUGUAUUUGUUAUCAUAGUUAUAAAAUCCAACUCGAUCAUUGAACCGGUCAAUCUGAUUAACCAGCCAUAGGAUUGGGUUGGAUUGCUAAUUAAACCAAUUAAACAACAAACCUGUUGACCAAUUAACAAUUCAGUUGUUCAACCAGUAAAUCCGGAAAAAAUCGCCAGUUGAACCCCCGAUUGAACCACCAACUUAAAAUUGUACUAAUUUUAUAAUUUAAAAUUAUAUUAUUAUAACAUAUAAGAUAACUGUCAUGCAAUAUACUCCGGGUUGAGCUCGGACUAAAUUUAAUAACUAUAUGUUUGUUAUCCUCCAAUAGAUGGCAAAAAUUGGCGACCAGGUGGAACCAGAUUUUAUCAUUUCUACUGGAGACAAUUUUUACGAAGAUGGAUUGACCGGCGUCGAUGAUCCAGCAUUCGAGGAGUCAUUUAGCAAUAUCUAUUUGGGCCCGAGUCUGCAAAAGCAGUGGUACAAUGGUAAUUUCACGACCCAAUAUUAUAUUUUCACCCGUGCACCAUUUUUUUCGUUAUCGUCCGCUAAUUAUUGUCCAGAUUAAUUUCGGUGCAGUUUUAGGAAACCAUGAUUAUAGAGGGGAUGUUUUGGCACAAUUGGAUCCCAUCCUCAGAAAAAAGGAUAGUAAAUGGUUGUGUCUCAGAUCUUUUAUCCUCAACACAGGUAAUUUUCAUAUUAAUGUACUCCAAAACUAUUUAGGAUACAAAUGUCAUUUUCUAAUAAGGGAAGGUGACACGCCUUAAUACAUAUUUAGGCUCUGAAAUAAAGUGAUUAUUUAUUCAACGAACGAAAACUGCAACGUCGAAAUUUAAUAAUUUUUUUUACAGCAAAAAAAGUAGUUAAAACUGGUCUUGACAUUAUUUUCUGCAUCAAUUUUAAGCAGAUGUUGCGGAAUUUUUCUUCAUCGAUACAACUCCAUUCGUAGAUAAAUAUUUCACUAACCCAAAACAUCAUAAAUAUGACUGGAGAGGAGUGCUGCCAAGAGACGAAUAUCUUUUUAAUUUGUUGAAGGUAAAUGAGACAUUUAUUAAUUUUUGAAUUAAUUUACUGAUGAUUUGUAGUUAAUUACCAAAGAAAAAGCUUUAAGCAUUUCGAGUUUGCAUUAAUUAUUUUUAUGCAUUAAAAAAAUUUAAAUAACAUUUAUGUUUAGAGCUCCAUUUCUGCAUUGCAUUUGAGGAAUUUCCUCUGAUCUAUCUUACUAGGAUUUAGACACUGCCCUAAAGGAAUCAAGUUCAGAUUGGAAGAUAGUUGUUGGUCACCAUACACUUAGAAGCGCUGGAAAACAUGGAAUCACAUUUGAGCUUGAGGAAAGGCUUCUUCCAGUGCUUCAGGUAAACUUGAUUAAUCCAAUUUAAUUGUGAUUUUGUUGUACUUUUGCUCUAAAAACGAAAUCAUCCAUCGAUUGUACUUAUUUUAUGCACAUCAAUAAGAAACGGGCCAAGACCAUGAUCAUCAUACCUUUCAUUCAUAGAUAUAUAGAUCUUCUAAAAUGUUAUGCUUAAACAUGAUCCAAACAAUAAUCUAAUCUACAAAUUUUCUAGGAAAACAAUGUUGAUCUUUACGUAAAUGGACACGACCACUGCUUGGAACACAUCAGUAGCCCUGACAGGUAAAAAAUUUACAUUGCAUAUUUUUAUGAGACUGAACAAAAUUUCAGAUGGAAAAUUAAGAACUCUUUGAUCACUAUUGCAGUCCACUCCAAUUUCUGACGAGUGGUGGAGGAUCAAAGGCAUGGAGGGGAAAUAUUCGGCCUUGGAGCCCUGAGGAGUUGAAGUUGUAUUAUGAUGGGCAAGGUUUCAUGGCCAUGAAGCUCACCAAGUACGAUGUUUAUAUCCAGUUCUAUGAUAUUGUUGGCGACAUUUUGCACCAAUGGAGCGGUUCAAAAGGGUUUUACUCCGUGUAAUUAAAUAGCAUUUCAUUAGAGGUUAAAGCUGGUUUAACCGGUUAAGAAUUGGUCAAAAAUGCUCCAAAAUGAAGAGACUAAACCUAGUAGUACUAGUACCUGUAUGCUCCUUAAUUGGAGCAAUCUUAGUAGCUUCCCACAAACUUACCAAACAGUUGGAAAGAAAAUGGUACAUAUUGUUAUUUUAGUUUUUUAAAAAUCUCAUCAAGUUCCCUUGUAGUUUGUUGAAAAAUGCCAUUAACCAAUUAGUUCAAUUGUCAAAUUCAACAUUCUAUUGAGAAAUCAAUCAAGUAAGGGAUAAUUUUAGAAACCUCCCUCAAGGUUUCUGAUAAUGACACUUAAAUACUCUCUAAUAUCGAGAAUGUGACACUUGAAAUAGUCACAUUUGGUGUAAUAGAAAUAUAGUCUAUCUGGAUUUCUUUCACUUUCUGAAAUUCUAAUUGCUGCAUUGCAUCCGCGGUCACAAAUUCUGUUUUUGAUCCUCAACGAUGCUUUUCCACGAAUUGAGCUCCUGUGAUAACUUGAUGAAGACAUACUUGCUCUUCAACUACAAUGCUAGUCAAUAUGUACCUCUAAUACCUGACGAAGACCAUAGCUCACUUCACAAAAAAAUGCCUUUUCUGAAAAAUGGAAUGCAUAGUUUUCACACAUUUUCUAGUUUAUAUGCUGUCAGGAUAGAGCCAUUGCAUUUGAUAGUGCAACGGCUCUUCUUGGUUUAACAAUCAAAAGUUGACUUUUCUAUAUGUAUUCUUUGCUGUCUUGAGAGGAUCAUUGGAGGGCCAAUAGUUUUCCUUUUUUUGUUUUGUUAAUUUCAUAACAAAGUGGUACAUGUUUUCUCCCACAUAUAAUGAGCAAAUUUGGUAGAAAAUUAUGUGUCAUUACUUUUGGUGAUAGAUGGAGGACCAUAUUGGUCCAUCAGCCAAACUUUGUAGGAAAAAAGUACAAGAAUCCUUUCUUGAGUACACUAGAAGAGAGCUAUAGGUGCCCAUAUUAAUUAUAGAUACAUGGUUAGGCGGGGGACUUCUAUUAGUCUAGGAAUAUACACUCACUGGUUUCAUACUUUUUUUAUCUGACAUUAAAAAUUGCAAGGCUGAGGUUAACUAAUUUAUGAAAUGCUUAAAAACAACAGGAGCCCUAGAUAUGCUGCUGAAGUAUAUACUACAUUCACUUAUCAUGCAAGUAUAUUCCGUGCCUUUCAAUGUCUUGAAAGCAGUACCUCUGCUCUGAAUUGCCUCCAUGUCCUAUGUAGUUACUUAUUACUUCUACCAACAUUUUCAUGCAGGCUUUUAUUUCUCCAUUUCACAUAAACCUAUGCCACGAUGCUAAAGUGGAGGAAGGUGUUCACUGGGACAGAUUUUAACUAGGGUUGAUUUGGAGCUCCUCCAGUGAAAAUAGCACCAUAUAUUCAAGUAUUUCCCACUUUCACAUAAACCUAUGCUAUUAUGCAAAAACGGAGGAAGGUGUUCACUGGGACAGAUUUUAACUAGGGUUGAUUUGGUGCUCCUCCAGUGAAAAUAACACCACUUUCAAAAGAAGUCUUGCCUCUUUCUUAUUCAAUGGUAUUACGUUCUUGGCAACUUCAAAUGCAUGAUAAACUAGUUUAUAAUUCUUUCUCGGGGAAAGAAAGCAUAUUGGUCUAACAAGGGCUAUUUGAAUCUUUAAGACCUGAAAACAGUAGUUUCUUCUGAGUCCACUAACUCACCCCACACUUGAACAAAUACAUUGGCAGAUAUUGUUAAUUUAGUUUUAUAAAUUUCAUUAAGUUCCCUUGUAGCUUGAUGAAAAAUGACAUCAACCAACUUAAUUAACUGUUAAAUUUAAUAUUCUUUUGAGAAAUCAAUGAAUAAAUUGACAUGCAAAAAUUGAUCAUUUUACUUCUUGCUUUUCUCAAUUUUAAUCCUAAAUUUUUUCCUAUAAUUUGUUUACAGCUGAAGGAGACAUAUCUCAAUCCUCACCAAUUUCCUCUUCUCUUGAGAUGGGAAACAGUAAUUGUUACAAGAAUCCAAACGUAUUAAAUGGCAAACCUCAAUAACAAAUCAUGCUGUAAUAACAUUAAUAAUUUUAAUCCUUAGGAGAAACCCAAUGGCCAUAGCAACCAGGGUUCACAUAAAUAAAAAUAAACAAGAAUAAAAAAAAUCAAAAUCGAAGUAGAAUAAAAUAAAUAGAUAAAUGUAAUGAUGUAAUUGGGUAUAACAGAGAUUGGCAAACUUACAAGAGAUAGGUGGAAUCUACCCUUGAAUGGAACAGUUUAAGACUGUCCCACAAACAAUACUUAUGCUAUCUUUAAUAGGAACAGAGUACUAAGAGUGGAUGAGCCAAUAGAGGGAACAAAAAAAAAAGGGCAAGUGGGAGAACAUCUGGAUUGUCUACAAGUAUGCAACCCAAAAGUUAUGUCCUCCACUUCUCAAUUUCUCCUGAAUAAUAUAGUGCAAAUUAUUGAUCCCAUGUGAGAAGACCAAACAAAUGGUGUAAAAUGGCCAAGUGCAUUGAAACUAAUGGGAAACUCCUCUGAGAAACUGGACUUUCAGUUCAGAAAUCAGAACUCCAAAAUCCUUAUCUCCUCAUCUUCAUUGUCCAGUUUGCUCCUCUAGAGUUGCAUCAAAUCCAGCUACCGCAUUUCAGUUGACUUUCUUUCUUUAUCCUGACCAACAAAAUCACGCACUCUUGUUUGAAGUUUGUCUGUGUUGUUUCGCUUACGUGGGUCGGCACUCGACAGAGUAUGGGAUGAUUCACUAUCCAGAUCAGCCCUGAUUUUGAUAGACGUGGAUUGAUUUGGACCUGCAAAUAUAACUUGGAAAAAAAAAAAUCAAUUGCAAUUUGACGAGGGUCAAGAACUAUUUGGAGCAUUUAAUUAAACAUUACCAAGUCACUUGAAUUUUAACAUGUUGGUCAAAGAAAUAUGCCAGCUACCAAAAAAACUUGCAGAAAUUAAGUUGAAUUUUCAACUUAACGAGUCACAAAUACCAGUUUACCAAUUGGCUGAAUCGGGUUGCUCUGUGAGUUUCUCUUAGAUUGCUUGUUUAUUGGGCCGGUUUAUCCGUUAACUCUCGUGCAUGUUCUAAUUGUGUGUGUGUGUGUGUUUCUUACUAUUGCAGUAAAAAAGUCACAAAUGCCAGUUUAUGGCACAAGACUUCUGGACACGAUGGUUUUCUUUUUCUACAAUUGUUUCUUUUAGUUGUGAAACGGAAAACAACAAUGAGCCCAUCUAAUAGGUGUUUAUUGGGCACUCAUGACGAGUAUCUAUGAAAUGUUAAAAUGUGUUUUAGGUGUUAAAUUUUUAAAAAUGUAAAAUUAAUUUAAAAAAAAGUGUAUGAAUCUAACGAAGAGUAAUAAUUAUUAAUAUCUGCAUAUACGUAGUAAAUUAAGUAUCAUUGAGCUAUGUUAACAAAAGCCAUCGAGAUAAAAAUCCAACAUAAUUGUUUGUAAUCUAUACAUCAAGUGACUAGUUGAAAAGAUUUUGUAUUGCACAUUAAAAUCACCAAAUGUAUCUACCCUAGUUAUUUUUUGCUCAUUGCUCCAUGUGAGAUUCUCAAUUUGUAUACGACAGGAUUGGUUGUGGGCUUGUAGCCGACAUUUGAGGGACAUUGUUAGUUAGUCUGUUAUAGCAACUUAGGCAAGGAAUCUUAGGCAUAGAAUAAAGUAUUUCCGAAGGCAAUCUAAAAACAAAAUAGACUGUGGAAUUUGAAGCCAAGUAAGUGGACAACUUUCCUUUUUAAUUUUUUUUCCUGCUUUAACCGGGACAAUAGGAUGUUUAAUUAUUCAAAGAUAUUUUAGUACCCUUCUUAUUUAUGUUAAUUGCUGCUAUUUUUUAAAGUUUUUUUUAUAGAAAAAUGUACUGUAACAAUUUGAUGUAUAUGGAAUAAAAAAAUGCAUUUACGGUAAACGUAAAAAUUUUUUGGGAAAAAAUGGCUUUCCAAACAAGGCCUUAGUUUUUCUGAUUCCUUGACUUUCUCAAUACUAAAAUUUAUGGACUUAAUUAAUUUUUUUUCCUUUUUUGUUUUGGGUGGGGGGAAAUUGUGGAUGGUAUUGGUGGUGGGUAAGUUUACUUAUGAAAAUGCUUCUGAAAUUUGCUAAUUGACCUUAGUAGAAAUUAUGCAGCAGACAUACAUGUACGUGAAUUCUAAUUUUAUUACGUGCUCCUUGUGAUUGUGGAGUAUUAAAUUUAAGAUUUUUCUAACGAAUACCUCCUAAACACCCGUUAAUACGCCUAAAUCACAUCUAACUGAUCAUGUUAAUGCACACAUUAACAAUAUAUAUUAAAUUUAAGAUUUUUUUAGCGACUGCCUAAUAAACACUCGUUAAUGUACCUAAAUCACAUCUACCUGAUCAUGUUAAUGCACACAUUAACAAUUAAUACCUUUUUAUAUAUUUUACUUAAUUAACUUUACUUUUCUAAAAAAAUUUAAUACCUGAAUUAUAUAUUAAUGAGUGCCUGCUAAUCAAUUAAGUUGAUCUAUAGAGUGCUGAAAACGUAUACAUCUAGAGUAGUUAUGAUAACGUGCACGCAAUCCAUAAACCAUCUGUCUGGAUUGUUGGCUGGGAUUCAAUAUCCAAUCACUUAUGAACAAAAAAGUACAUUUUACUUCACGAAAAAACAGAAAACGAAACACCGAAAUAAAUUAAUGAGCACUUUCCAGAACUUGCAUAAUAAGUGCUACAUCAGAAGUUUCCCUGUUCACGUAAACUCAUAGGAGGAAUACAAGGGUUUGAUCCUUUUUUUUCCUUUUAAUUUUGGAUAUUGUCACAAUUUCGUUUUGUUUUUUUUUAAUGUGUAUAAUUAUGGGAGAUAUUAAUAAUUUAAGUAUUUAACCAUUGAUUAACUAGAAAGAUAUUCUAAAAGAAUAAAAUGAUUAUCGUUUAAAUUUAAGAAGAUCAUUUUAUACACACAACGCCAGCUCAAUCUAACUGGCAAACAAAAUUAAUUGCUGAAAUUUGUUUUCUAGCUAAUUAUUUAAAUUUAGUUUCAUGAGUAAAAAAGAAAAAAGACAAGUUUUUUUUUUUUUUAAGUCAUGGUGAAGGCAUGGGACCAACUACUACAUCAUACAUCACCUAAUAGUGAUACUUUUCUUUAAAAAUUGUAAACGUAUGUGAAUAAAUGUGUACGAAUGCUUAUAUACAGAACUCUCUACCUAGACAACAAACAGAGAAGAGAGAAUCAAGGGUGUAUAAGAGCUUUGGAAAAAUAGUCUCCAUUUGUCCAAAUUGUAAAAGCUCAUACAGAUUUUUGUACCAUGCAUUUCUAUCCCAUUAUUUUUCCUCUCUGAUAUUCAGGUAAAAUCUUGUGCAAAAAAAUGACCCCUUGGGCUCACAAAGAUCAGGAGGAAGCUUCCUAGGUACCAUCCUCCUCAGUCCUACCUUUUUGUCUUGGUUAUUUAAGCAACCUUUUCUCAACUUCUCUCAGUUUCCCUCGAUACAUCUUCCCCAAACAGCCUGAUAACAAACCCUAUUGGAAGCUGUGUUUCAAACCACGCCCAUGGCUUCCAAGAACCUCCAAAAUAUCAUUCUUCUCUACAAGAUCAUUCUCAUUUGUGGGCUGUGUUUGGUUUACUCAAAAGCUGAACUUCCAAGGUUUGAACAUCCCAUCAAACCCGAUGGAUCGCUCAGUAUCUUGGUUGUUGGAGACUGGGGAAGAAGAGGAGCUUAUAACCAAACAGAAGUUGCAGCUCAGGUUCUUAUCUUUCUGUAUUUAUGGAAACAAUAUUUUCUUGAUUACACUUGACUAGAUGAUAUUUAGAUCACAUUUUUAGAUGGUUUAAUGAAUGUUUUGGAUUUUAUAAAGCAAGAAAGGUUAAGUUUAACAAAUCAUUGCCAGUUGUUCCUGGUAGGGUUUGAACUUUUCCGUUAAAUUAUGCAGUAGAUAAGAACAAAUACAUGUUGUUAUGGUCAUUAUUGCCGUUUGGAAUUAGACUGCAUUAUUUUGGACCCAAAGAUACACAUACGAAAUAUUUAUUUGCUCGGUCGACAGCAUAUAACAGCCUAGAGGUAUUCAUGAUUCUUCCUGUUUUGGUCAGACUACAGUAAUACCAACAAGACAUUAUCAAGACUUAUUAACAAAUUUGAAAAGAUUAACAAUGCCAAGCACAUGUGUAUCAAAAGCCACUUUGUUUUUUUUACAUUGAUUAAUCAAAAUAUGUGCUCAAGGUCUACUUACAUACGAUAUAUCAUAACAUACAUACAUACAUACAUAUAUACAUACAAAUUCCAAGGAUUAAUCAAGUUUAUUAUUACACAAAUUCUAAAUUAGGACAAACAUGAUACUUUCAUAAAAUCAUUUUUUCACCCCUAGACAAUAAUAUGGCGAGUGCAUAAUUUAACUAACCAAACUAAACUUCAUCCCAUUUCUUGCUUUAGGACAAACAUGAAAUAUGCAUAAUAGUUCUUAAAAAAUUAUAUUGACUGUGUAUUAGUUUAGCAUGUGAUUAGUCAAGGCAUUAAUCAAGAAAAUCGUUAUCUUGUUACCCCCAUAACAACAUCUGGCCAUUGCAUGACUAAACUAAACUUUUCUCCCACGUAGCUUUCAACUAUAGUCUUGUGAUGCUCUCCUUGUCCAAUUAAAGCCUCUCAUGUCGGCAAAGGUUUUGUUGCCCAAUUUAUUAGGCAUCCAGUAGUUAACUUUCGUGGUGGAGAUAAGGUAUUAUUCCAUGUAGAUUUGAUACUGAUUCUCUUAAGAUAAACAAGUAUGGGAACCUAUUGGAAGUAGUGGAACUAAAUGUACUCAUCCACCAUUCAGAAAGUUGACAUUUCCUGAUGUCUCUGUCUUCUGAUUUAAGUUUGAUUUUUAGACUAACAUCACUUUGCACCUCCGAAAUUGUAUCACUUUCUUCAUUUGUGUUUUAAACUUUAAUUUUGAACACUUUGUACCUUGAAUAUUCAAUUUUGAAUACUUCGUACUCUAAACUCUUUAAGUUUAUCCCUUUAAAUCUAAUAACCGACAAAGUUAGCAAAAUUCAUGAGAUAAAGGGUGGUAUAAAUUAAUGACAAUGUAUAGUUUUGUUCUACCUGUAAUCCCUUAACUCCUAUUUACUAUUUUUAUGACAUUAUUAUUGAUUCAUGUGAUCCCAAUUAUGAAUAUUAUUAGCAAAAUUGACAAGACAAUUAAUGAAUGAUACAAAUUAUAAUAAUUAAUGUAUCAUUUUCUUCUAAAUGUGAUACCUUGGUUGCUUUUGAUCACUUCUAAUACAUUUUCAUUGACUUGUAUAGUCAUUUAUGCUAUUAUAAGUUUACUAACGUUGCCAUUGGUGGGAUUUAAAUAGGACAAAAUUGAGAGUUCAAAAUACAAAGUGCCUAAAGUUAAUAAUUUAAGUUGCAAGGUGUUCAAAAUCAAAGUUUAGAGUGCAAAAUAAGAAGGUGAUACAAGUUUAAAGGUAUAAAAUGGAGUCCAUCCUUGAUUUUUUUAAAUUUUUUCUAGUAGAAGAUGGUGAGAUUUAAAGAGUGGUGAGGGAGUAGGAGGAUUAGAUCCAGAACCUCUUACUCCUAUAAAUUUUGAUUUAUUUCAAGAAAAUCUAGGACACGUAUAUAAGUGAUUUGACAUUAAUAAUUUGCGCAUUAGAUUUUUUGUCUCUGACAAUUGGUUACAUAUUCCGUUGAAUUAUUAACUCUUGGACCCAUGCCAAAGGGAGGAAAAAAAAAAAACAUCUUGGACCCAUGCAAAUGCGCACUUGAACGAGAAGUUAGUCACAUGAUUGAUUAAAUUAAAGAAAAUCCUUUUGUACACGCAACGCAAGUUCAAUCUAACAAGCAAAAAUAAGUAAUUGCUGAAUUCAUUUUCUAGGUAGUUAAUUAAGUUAGUUUCAUCAUGACUAAAAAAAGAAGAAAGACAAGUUUUUUUUUUUUUUUUAAGUCAUGGAGAUGCAAUGGGACCAACUACUACAUCUUCCAUCUCCUAAAAGUGAAACUUUUCUUUAUAAAAUGUACAUGUAUAUGAAUAAAUGUGUACAAAUGCUUAUGCACAGAAAUCUAUACCCACACAACACGCACACAAAGAGUCAAAGGUGUAAAGGAGCUCUGAAUAAAUAGUCUCCAUUUGUCCAAAUUAUAAAAGCUCAAACAGAUUUUUAUCCCAAGUUCCAUCCCAUUCAAGACACUUUCCUUUCCUCUGAUUUUGUCCAUGCAUAAAAAUGACUCGUUGGACUCGUUGGACUUGCACAGAUCAGGAGGAAGCUUCCUAGGUACCAUCCUCUUCAGUCCUACCUUUCUGUCUGAGUUAUUCAAUCAACCUUUUCUCAGUUUCCCCCCAUACAUCUUACCCCAAACAGCCCUGAUAAUUUAACUCUUUAGGAAGCUGUAUUUCAAACCACAUCCAUGGCUUCCAAGAACCUCCAGAAUAUCAUUCUUCUCUACAAGAUCAUUCUCAUUUGUGGGCUGUGUUUGGUUUACUCAAAGGCUGAACUUCCAAGGUUUGAACAUCCCAUCAAACCUGAUGGAUUGCUCAGUAUCCUGGUUGUUGGAGACUGGGGAAGAAGAGGAGCUUAUAACCAAACAGAAGUUGCAGCUCAGGUUCUUGUCUUUCUGUAUUUAUGGAAACAAUAUUUUCUUGAUUACACUUGACUAGAUGAUAUUUAGAUCACGCUUUUAGAUGGUUUAAUGAAUGUAUUGGAUUAUAUAUAUAUAAAUAUAUAUAUAUAUAUAAAAGAUCAAGUUUAACAAACCAUUGCUAAUUGUUCUUGGUUGGGUUUGAACUUUUCCAUUAAAUUACGUGGUAGAUAUGAACAAAUACGUGUUGUUAUGGUCAUUAUUGCCGUUUGGAAUUAGACUGCAUUAUUUUGGACCCAAAGAUAUACGUUUGAAAUAUUUAUUUGCUCCAGCUCAAAGCAUUCACGAUUCUUCCUGUUCUGGUCAGAAUACAGUGCCAAGCAUAUGUUUAUUAAAAGCUUCUUUGAUUUUACAUCAUAACACACACCCCCCCCAAACACACACACACACACAUCUACACACAGAUGUGUGUGUGUGUGUGUAUAUAUAUAUAUAUAUUAUUCCAUAGAUCAACCAUUGAUGAAGUUUAUUAUUAUAGAGAUUCUGAAUUAGGACAAACAUGAUAUUUACAUAAAAUCAUCUUUUCACUCCCUAAACAAUCAUCUGGCCAGUGCACAACUUAACUAACCAAAGUAAACAUCAUCCCAUAACUUUGCUUUCGGAUAAACAUGAAAUAUACAUAAUAGUUCUUAAGAAAUUGUAUUGACUGUGAAUUGGUUUACCAUGUGAUUUGAUAUAGCAAUAAUCAAGAAAGUCAUUAUCUUUUUUCCCCUUCAUAAUACCUGGCUAUUGCGUAACUAAACUAGACUUUUCUCCCACGUAGCUUUCAACUUUAGUCUUGUGAUGCUUUUCUUGUCCAAUUAUAGCUUGCCUCUCGUCAGCAAAGGUUUUGUUGCCUAAGUUAUUAGGCAUCCAAUAGCUAGCUUCCUGGUGGAGAUAAGGUAUUAUUCCACAUAGAUUCCAUGCUGAUUCUUUUCGCAUAAACAAGUGUGGGAAUUUAUGGCUCAUACUUGUUUCAUUUGAAUUUGGGUUAAAAACAAAAAAAAAUCCCAUAUGGUAUACUUAUUGCACAGAAAAGCCCUCGUGAUUUCAAAACAUACAAAACGACACCUCAUGUUUUGAACUAAUUUGUAAACUAACAGAAUUCGUUAAAUUUAAAGGAAUCCGGUAAACUUAUCGGAAAACUUAACGGAAUCCGGUAACUUUAACAGUCAAGACCGUCAUUUUUGUUAAUUUUAACGAAUUUUGUUAGUUUACAAUUUAGUUCAAAACAUGAGAUAUCAUUUUAUAUGUUUUGAAACUACGAGGGACUUUUUUGUGUAUUAGGCAUAGCACAUGGGACUUUUUUGUUUUUAACCUUUAAAUUUGGAUGAAUAAAAUUGAAUUUAGAGUACGACUUUUAAAUGAAUGGUAAAAAAUUGUUGUGUUUUUAUCCAUUACUGUCUUAAUGUCUACAUUUAUUAUAUUAAUAUCUACUUCUGUUAUGCUGCUACAUAGAUUGAACGGUGCAGUUGAAACUAACAAUUGUAAAAAUUCUGCACUCCUUUUUAAUACCCUUUUUCUGUUUUCUUUUUGAGUAAAAAAGUUAUAUACACUGAAGUACAGAAGAUGAAUCAAGAUGCUAAUGCAAAUGUAAUUAUAUUAUGAUUUUGGUUCAUACUAUAAUUGCUAUCCUCCAACAGAUGGCAAAAAUUGGAGACCAGAUGGACCCAGAUUUCAUCAUUUCUACGGGAGACAAUUUUUACGAAGACGGAUUGACUGGUAUUGAGGAUCCAGCAUUCGAGGAGUCAUUUAGCAAUAUCUAUUUGGGGCCAAGCCUCCAAAAGCAGUGGUACAGUGGUAAUUUCACAACCCAACAUUAUAUUUUCAUUUAGCACCUUAUUUUUCAUUAGAUUAAAUCUUAUAUGUACUGAUAGUGUAUACACAUUAUAACAGAAAUUCAAAUUUACGUUAAUUAUCAUUUAUUCUAUACUGAUAGUAUACACACUGUUAUUGUGUAAAAAAAUUAAUCCUUUUCGCUAGAGUAAAUUUUAUAUAUACAUAUAGUGUAUACACCAUUACGUUGGAUCUUUUUUGCUGGAGUAAAGUUGCCUGCUAAUUAUUGUCCUAACUAAUAUUGGUGCAGUUUUGGGAAACCAUGACUAUAGAGGUGAUGUUUUGGCACAGUUGGAUCCCAUCCUCGGACAAAAAGAUAGCAAAUGGUUAUGUCUUAGAUCUUUUAUCCUCAAUACAGGUAAUUUCUCAAAUCAACAUACUCAAAAUAUAUUAACAAGGGAAGGUGAUAAACCUCAAUACAUAUCUAAGCUCUGAAAAUAAACUGAUUAUUUAUCCAAAGAAGUUUGCUAUAUCGGAAAUAUCAUUCCUUUUAGACAGCAGAAAGUAGUUAUAACCGGAUUGACAUCAUUUUCUUCUAUUAAAUAUGAGCAGAUGUUGCGGAAUUUUUCUUCAUCGAUACAACGCCAUUCGUAGAUAAAUAUUUCUUCCGCCCAGAAGAUGAUAAAUAUGACUGGAGAGGAGUGCUGCCCAGAGAGGAAUAUCUCUCAAAUCAGUUGAAGGUAAAUGUAAAAUUUUACAUAUGGCUCUUGUUAGGAGUAUUUAGUUUUUGCAGUUGCAACACGAGGAAAAUUUAUUUAUUUUGAAUUCCAUUUCUGCACUGAAUUGGGAAUCUUUCGUUGACAUUAAAAGUACUUAACAUUCUCCUCUAAUUAAUCAUAAUAGGAUUUAGACACAGCCCUAAAGGAAUCAAGUUCAAAUUGGAAGAUAGUUGUUGGUCACCAUACACUGAAAAGUGCUGGAGAUCAUGGAAUCACAGUUGAGCUUGAGGAAAGACUUCUUCCAGUUCUUCAGGUAAUCUUGAUUAAUCCCAUUCAGUUGUAAUUAAGCUGUAUUUUCCACUAAUAAACGAAUUUUUUUUGUUGGCUGUACUUAUUUAUAUAAACAUCAAUAAUGUGACGCAUUUUUUUUUUCGAACGGGUCUAAACCUUGAUUGUCAUAUUAUUCAUCGAUGUAUAUAUCUUUUAAGAGAUUAGACGGUAUUAGCAUAUAUUGUAUUUGCCCGUAUAAUAUGACAGUCGUAGCAUAUUUUUUAGUUGAGCUCUUGAUUUUGUUCUUAAUCAUGGCCUAACGACCAAUUAAUCGACGAACUUUCUAGGAAAACAAUGUUGAUCUUUACGUAAAUGGACACGACCAUUGCUUGGAACACAUCAGUAGCCCUGACAGGUAAAAAAUUUACAUUGCAUAUUUUGAUGAGAAUGAACAAAAUUUCAGAUGGAAAAUUAAGAACUCUUUGAUCACUAUUGCAGUCCACUCCAAUUUCUGACGAGUGGUGGAGGAUCAAAGGCAUGGAGGGGAAAUGUUCGGCCAUGGAGCCCUGAGGAGUUGAAGUUGUAUUAUGAUGGACAAGGUUUCAUGACCAUGAAACUCACCAAGUACGAUGUUUAUAUCCAGUUCUAUGAUAUUGUUGGCGACAUUUUGCACCAAUGGAGCCGUUCAAAAGGGCUUUACUCCGUGUAGUUAAAUAGCAUUUUAUUAGAGGUUAAAGCUGUUUUAACAGCUUAGGAAUUAGUUAAAUUUGCUCCAAAAUCAAGAGACUAAACCUAAUAGUAGUACUACAUUGGGGCAAUGUUCGUAGCUUCCUAUAUAUGUAUUAGUAUGGGUAGAAACUGAAUUUUCUUUGACUUGAUCUGUAAUUAAUCUUCUUUUCUAUGUCUGUUAAAAAGCAUUACGCUUGCCUGCAAGUAAUAAAAAAUAAAAAUAAAAUUGGGGCGUAAAUGAUGAAGCUUAAUGAAAAAUAUUUGAGGACUUGAUAGUCCAGUGGCAAACACGUCUGAACAAGAUCAAAAGAAGCUAACAGGCACUGAAAAAGGCAGACAAUUAACACCGAGUAUUAUGUGUUCUCAGAGGUUAAAGUAUCGAACGAUGAACAAUUUGACUACUGAUUCAAAAACUAAUUAUUUUGAGGGAUUAUUUUUACACAAAUCAUAGGUAGACGACUUGGCAUUUUCGUUCAAAUGUAGGCCGGCUUUUUGAAUUAUUUAUUGAUGAUAGGUUGAAAGUAUGUUCAGUGGAUUAUCGAGUCUGUUUCCAAGGGUUAAGUCGCAGGAGCUUAACCUUUUUUUUCUUUUAGUAUAAUUGAAAGGUUUUGAAUCCGAAACCUUUUAUUUAUAUUCCUUCUUUCGUACUAUCUAAUCCAUCUCACCCUGCUUAACCUUUAGCAUAUAUUCAGUAAAACAAGAUGUAAGAAUUUAACAACUAAGGGUCUGUUUGGUUGGAAGUAAAAUGUUUUCCUUGGGAAAAUAUUUUCCGUGGAAGUAAUUUUCCAUGAAAAUUAUUUUCCUUUCAUCAUUUUCAGGUGUUUGGUUAGCUUAUUGAAAAUAUUUUCUUACUUUAUUUUUCUAGUGUUUGUUUAACUUUUGAAAUAUUUUCACUUUUAUUUCUAUCUUUACUUUCUACACAUUAUAACUACAUACUUCUUCCCAUGCAAAAUAAGAAAAUUUAUCUCAUUGUUUAACUUUAAAAAAUCUUGGAGAAAUGUAUAUAUGAAUAAAAAAAUAUCUCCUUAAGCAAUAAACAAAUUGCUGGCCAUUUAGUGUCAAAUAUCAAUCACAUGCAAUGCUUAUUGUGACAUAUAUCUUGCACUCUCACUGCUGAAAGUUUCUCUAGAAAAGAAUGUCCCUAUUAUACAUAAUUAAUUACAAGCAUACGAUGAGCAGGAUGGAGUUUUUUUUUUAUUUUGAAUAUACUAGGGGGAGGGUUGGGUUGGGUGGUACGGGGGAGGGAGUGUAAGGAAGAGGUCUUGGGUUCGAGUCCUCCUGUUUACACUAAAAAAAAAAAAAGAACAUACUACAAGAUAUUUUCAGUAAGUUUGGAACAUACUACAGGCGGGAUGCAUGCAUUUUGGAAAACAACUUCAGUAAGUUUGGAUGGGAAGUUGUUUUCCAUAAGAUGAGUGAAAAUAUUUUACAUAGGAAAAUGUUUUCAGUAACUUUUGUGCAAUCAAACACGGGAAAUUAGGAAAAUAUUUUCUUGGAAAACAUUUUCACCCGAAACAAACGGACCCUAAGAGGAAAACGAAAAGACAAAAAAAAAAUUCAAAAUGCAGUAAAAAGUUUUAAUUCUAAAAUGUUAAGUCCAGUAAUAGAAGAUUAAAGGGCAAGCUUGGUGCUAAAAUUUGGUGCAUGGGUUCUUUCUCAAGGUGGUUGAAAAUGUUUAAAUGUUACUAAUUGGAUUGCCAAAAUCAUUGGCAUGUUCCUUUGCAAACUUAACAACUUCACAUAAAACCAAGCCUACAUAUUCAAACAUAUCAGAGUAUCAUUAGUUUUCUCAGCUUCAGUUAAACAACUUAACUGGGAAAGUGAAGUUCCUUUGAUACUGUAUACUUGUGUUGAAGAAAUCCAGAAGCAUCAUAAAAUAAAAAAAGCAGCUGCUUCCCAUUGACUGAAUUCCAUUACCAUGUACUCUUCAGUGCCAUUGAAAUAGAAUUUCAUUUUCUCUGAUUUUAAUGGUUUAACACAAUUUCUGAGUGCGUAUACCUUGGAGCCCCAUCCAACAGCAAUUUGGAUAUGGCUGAAUUUUGCCAAACGACAAAAAAAAAAAAAAAAAAAAAAAAGGAGUUGUCAAAUUUUCAUGACAUAAAUCAACAUGAGAUUGAAUUUGUUUGGAUAUCAAAAUUUUUCAAAUAAUAUUUCGUUUGCAUUAUAAUUAAACACAUUUUCCAAUUCACCCUUUUACAUUCUCGAUCACUUUUUUAUCUCACAUACAUCACAUCACAAAAAGUGUUACAGUAAUUAUUCCAAAUAAUAGUCUAUCCAAAUCUUUGAUGUAAGUAUUGCAUAGAAUUUUUUUAGUCAAUUACCUGUAAAUGCUACCAAUGUGUUCUACAAAAUUGUCAUGUCCAUUGAUGUGAAAGUCAACAUAUAUUGUUUCCCUGGAAUAAAGGUAAGGCAGUAUAGAUGUUAGAAUGUAGAAACAUAGGUCCUUUAAGGUGCAGUGGUGAAGUCAUAAUACGUGAGGGUUUGGCAUCAACUUUACAAAAUAAUUACAAAUUUAGCUACCAAACUUUUUAAUAUGUUUGAAUUCACCCCCCCCCCCCCCCUUUAUCACCCUUGGAAAUUUUGUAGCUAGGUUCACCCUGAUAUAUAUUCUCCUAUAAAAAUGUUUGAUUACAAGUAACCUUCUUUUUAAAAAAUUUUGAGUUUCCCAUUGGCUGUACGGUCUUAAUCCGGUGUAUUUCUUUAGUACGAAUUUAAAUCUAAGAUAAUUGAAAGAGGAUAUUGCUUAAGUUAGUAAAACAGGCACCAGAAAUAUGACUUUUUUUUUUCUUUUUCUCUUUAAGACAGAAUUCCAUACCAAUCAUAUAUAGAAGGGAGCUAGAGACAUAUUUUAUUUCUUGAUAAAAUUGCAACACUGACAAAUUGUGGGAUUAACACCAAUAGAUGAUCCGUCCAAUCUAACACCAAUUGCGAACUUGAACGUAGAAUCUCUAAUUUAUGCUCUAUUUUUUUUAAAAAUUUUCUAACAGGAAAAAGGUGGAAUUUGAGAAGUGAAAAGAGAAAAUGAGAAAAAGUUUUACAUAAAUUAAUGACACUAAACUCACCCGAAGGCGUGAUAUUUUACGCCAUCUUUUUUUUUUCUUUUAAGUUUUACACCUUUAAGUUGAUGAUAACUGCCCAUUAAUCAUUCCUGAGUUGUAGACAAGUUCAUCCUUAAGAUACCAUAGUUAUUCAACAUUGUCUUCUGAGGGAACAUGUAAAAAGUUAAUUCAAAAGUUAAUACUGAGUUAUAAAGUUUAAAAAAAAAAAAAAAAACCAUUUUACCAGUGCUUUUGUAAGCUAGGGUCAGAGUAGAUGUUAUAGACAAAUUCCUUAACCACUGGAACUUCCACGCCUUCAAAUUAAUUCAUCUCCAAUGAGAAUGAAUGCAUUUGAAAGCGUAAAUUUAAAGUCCACAUUCUUUCCCAUUAUUGCCAUCUACACAACGAAAAUAUAUUAGCACAGGAUUUCAAAAUUCAUAAACUCACCCAGCAAUACACAAUUGCAGGGUAGAACAAUGUGAACUUUUGAACAAAAGAUUGAAAUCUCAAAUUCCCAUUUUUAAGCAUAUUAUCCAACAUUUUUUCCCAAAGAGAAUUAAUAAUGAUUCCCCACUUAUCCUCGUAAUAAUUCAAAUUCAUAACCUCUUAGUUUUAAGUAAAGUGUUUUACUAACGAGGCUGCAUAUUAUCCAAUAUUAAUACGCUACAAAUUAGGACAGCUAGCAUUUCGAAAUAGAGCGAUGUACAAAGCAAAUUUUUUUUCUGAGUUUACCCCUUUUUUCAUUACUGUACAUCCUGAAAUUUCUCUUGACUUCUCAAAGAUAAACAUGCAUGAAGUAAUAUUGACAAAAAAGCAAUUAAGCUGGAGACAUUUUUCUAAUUUUCUUUACAACUAGAAAUAUUAUAACUGUAACCAAAAUUAUAAGUAUUCUAUGUAUACGAAGAAGUUCUCAUCUAGAUUGUGUUUCAUCGCACUCAUGUCCUCAUUUUGAAAAUAUUACAAUAACAUGUUUCUAAAAAUUCUUCUUAAAGAAGCCAUCAAGAUUGCGUGAAAUUUGUUCAAACUCCAUCUAUAGUAUUGAUUAAGGGACUCGAUAAAGGAGGAAUUUCGUGUAAAUCUUCAAUAAAAUGCUAUUGAACUCUUUAGAUGUAUAGAGGGACAAACUAAAGACUUCUGUAGUUAAGACUUAGCACUUGAGAUAACCUAAGAUUGAAUAGCUUGUAGACAACUAAUGAUAACCUGCUAAUCGAGGAUUAAUAACUCAAGAACAGUUUGCAAACUUAAAAUCAAAUUGAUCUGAUUGGUUUCUUUGUCCUAGCGCUUCUCCAAACACCAUUUAAACAAGAGGUUCAUCAGCUUCAAUAGGGUAGUUAAAGUAUUGGAGCUCAGCAACAGAACGUACCAGAUGCAAUCCAAAUGUCAAAAUGAAAAGAAGAUAAAUCAACAUGGGUUUCAUGUUUGCAGAAGUCAUGAGAGAAUUCUUCACAGUGAAUGAGCGUAUAAAGGAAUAAAUUUUCAAUUUUGGCUUUGUUUAUCUGUGGCUGAUCAAGACAACUUGUACUCAAAGUUUCAAUUGUACAUGCAAAUACGAAUAUCGGGGGUGGUGUAUUCCGGGCCUCAGAUGAUCAAGCUUUGAUAGGAUAUUCAGUUUUCCUAGGGUUCAGUAUGAGUUUGCGUGCUGAGGUAUUGGCUCUGUUAGCAGGUCUCUGACUUUGCGGUCAGAAAGGUUUUACACAAAUUCGAGUACAGUCUGACUCGUUGGUGUUAAUAGGCAUAUUGCAACGCAGAUUUUAGUGUCCGUGACAGAUUCGUAGAGAGGUAUUUCAAAUAUGGCAGCUGGCUGAGGGUCCAGGGUAAUUCUCUCACUGCUUUAGAGAAGCAAAUACGGUGGCAGACAUACUCGCUAAUAAAGGUCUAUUGCAUCCACUUGAUCCGAUUAGGGUUUAUGAUCAACCAAGUCGCCUGCCACAGCUGGCAAGAGGGGCAGUCAAGUUGGAUAAAUUAGGUCUUCCUUCUCUCCGAUUUCUUAAAAAACCUUCUGUGUAACUGGCCUAGGCUCCAUUUAUUGUAGUAGAACAAUCAGGAAAGGGCAAUUCCAAGAUAGAUGCGAGGGGAAAUUCGCAUGGACGGGAGAUGGUGCACUCGUACCAGUUGCUUGAUAGCAUGUGAUGUUUUUCUUGAAUUUGGGCUUGUUGGCAGGGAGAUUCAUCUAUUUAUAAGGAGAAACUCUGUCAAAAUUUUCUUAAAAUAAAUAAAAUACUUAUGUUUGUGCUAAAAAAAAAAGCAAAUACGAAUAUCUAUACCUAUGAGUUUUGAUAUUUAUAUAUUUUGGCUUUAAGCAUAUAUAUGUGCAUGUUUUUGUCUUGAGGCUUCAAGACUUAAAAAAAGUCCUGAGUUCGAAUUUCUCUUUUCCCUUCCUAGUUCAUAAAUCUCAUUCCUCCUUUGUUAGAAAUUUGUUUUAAAUGUAUAUAUUUUAGUCCAUGUGUAUAUAUUAUAGUUAUUUGUUGAACCCAAAAAAAAAAGAAGAAGAAUUAUGCCAUUUACAUCCUUGAUGUUUUCACCAUUUAAACUUCACACAAUAAGCUAUUUGUUUUUUUUUUUAAGUUUUUUAUGUCUAAUGUCAACAACUAAAAUCCCAUCAUCCUGAUCAACAGAAUUAAAUUGGAAAUUAUCACAAGUGCUAACCAUGCCUAUAUUCAAGAAUCUAUCUUCAAUACUCGAUUUAAAGUACAAGUGAUUUGGGUGAUUAAGAUACAAAAUAUAUAUAGAAGACUUCUAUUCUAAAAAAUUGACCGGAGAAUUGGUUACUGAGUCUAAGUUGAGAUUUCUCAGAGGAAAUUUUUUGUAAACAGAUUAGAGGACUGAUGUAUUAGUUCUAGCUUAAUGCUGACUUUACUGCAUUGUUUUGCUUGGGUAAAAUUUUUGCUCAUCAACAAAACCAAUAUUUUGCUUAAAACAAAAAUGGAUAACAAAAAAAUCAAAUUAUUCAAUGAAAACCAAAAUUGAUUUACCUUGAAAAUGUUAUCAUAUUGAGAAAAAGCUAAUAAUUGGCUAAGUUCUAUAAACAACUAUAUAUUUGUUUGAAAUCAUUAUGCGAACAUAAUAAUAUGACAAGCGUGAUUAAAUUUGUAAAAUCAAAUGGUUUUUUUUGUAUAAAAAAUAUUAUAUUUUGCAUUGACUAUAAAAAUUUAUUUCUUAAAUCCAUGUCUUUACAUUACAAGUUCACUGAACAUAAUGACUAUGUGGGUAUAUAGUCACACCCCCCCCCCCCCUCUUCCCCUCUCUCAUUUUAGCUUGCUAUCACUUUUUGAAGAUUUGUCAAACUACAUUAAUGCGGCAAAUGAAGUUCCUUUGAUAUUCUAAAAUUAUGAAAGACUGCACCAUAAACAUCAUAAAAUGUGAAAUUAGCUUCAUCUCCUCUGAAUUCCAUAAAUCCUUGGCAAUCAAAAUUGAAUUUCAUAACCUCUGAAUUCCAUGAUCGAACAUCACCUCUCCAAGAUUUAGAGCCACCACCACUUGUCAAAAAUUGGAUAUUUCUAGACAAAAUAUUGUUAGUUUCUUGGCAAUUUAAUUCAUAGGUAAUCAGAUAAAAUCAUUGUUACUAUCGAUAACAUAAAUAUCCGUCAAUACCACUAAUGUGCUCCAAACAGUGAUCAUGUCCAUUGAUGUAAAAAUCAACUUUGUUUGCCUGGAAAAAAAAAUGUAAGAUUAGAAUCAGAUGUCAAAAACUUUCGGCAAAAAUAGGCUAAAUACCAUUUUGGAUCCUGAAACUAUAGAUGCAUUCCCGUUUUAACUUUAAACUUCAAUUUUGAACACUUCACCCCCUAAAGUAUGAAAUCCAUCUCACUUCAGAUUCCUAAAUUUUAAUUUUGGAAAUUUUAAUUACACUUUAAGGCAUGAAAUCCAUCCAUAGAAUUGUCAAAAUUCGUGGAAUAUUAGACAAGUGAUGCUUGAUAUUUAAGAACUAAAGUAGGAUGAAUUUCACGUUUUAUGAGAUAAAGCAUUCAAAAUUAAAGUCUAAUGACUAAAGUGGAAUGAAUUUCGUACUUUAGGAGAUAAAGUAUCCAAAAUUGAAGUUGACAGAUUAAAGUGGGAGUCUGCCUUUAGUUUAGGGAUCCAAAAUGAAAUAUAACAGUAAGAAUGCAACAAGAGAUUACAGCAAAAAGGCUGUAAAUGGGAGGUAUGUGCUAUUUCAGCUGAGGAAGAGAAAAUGAGCUGUUCAACCGUUGAAUCAUUAAAACAAAACCAUUCAACCAAUACAUUUCUCAAUUUAUACUCAAAAAUUUUAAAUUCGAUCCACUCCUUUCAUUAAGUGGCAUCAAAAGUCUAAAGUGUUCACUUCGAUACAAUCGAUACUCUUGUGGUCUUUCCUCUAUCUUUAAUGUGUCAUCUCUUUCUUUAAUUUGACAUAUUUUCAGGUUAAUGAACACAACUUAAUUUUCAGUGUAGAUGCUAGCUAGCAAAUUUCAAUUAUCCACAAUUUUUUAACUCCCAUGUAAUUUCACAAAUAGCAUUAAUAUAUAGACCAAUUUGAAUGCAUUAACUUAUCUCAAAAAAUAUUAAGCAAAAAAAAAAAAAAAAAAAUCGAAUGGGGUUUUUAAGUUCAUACAUUUCCGAGAAAACAUGUCAAAAAAUUUGCAUUUAAUCGUACUAGGUACAUCAUCCCUCCUCAAAAAUUAACUUAAGUAGCUAUAUUCUUCAAGUGGACUUAAUUUAAAAUUUAAGUUUCUUUUUUGGAUUUUGCAUGCGUUUCAAUAUCUAGUUCUUAUUAAUACGAAGAAGAGAGAUUAUAUAUGGUUAUCAAUCUACAAAAUUACCUUAAUUUCUCAAACUUUUCGUUUAUACCUGGAGGAUUGGCAGUAGAGAAUCAACAAGCUCUUUGGUCGCUCCACGCAUGAUGCCCAGCACUUUUGAUUGUGUGAUGACCUGCAACUAUUUUCUAGUUUUCUCUCGAAAUCCCUUGAUGCAAAAUCAACUUCCUGUUCAGGAAAUAAGUAAGAUUAAUCCAACAGCAUCGAAUCAAGAAUUUGGUUUUAAUUAGCAUUAAUGAUAUUAAAAAUAUUUGUCUAACUAUUGUGCUUACAUAAAAUUUUGGUUAAUUCAUUACUUAAAAAAAAAAAUUUGUGGUUGCAUUACCUUUAUCAGGUCUCAAAGAUAAUUAAUUCUUUCUAUACAAGAUGCCUUUCCAAUCAUAUGAAGGAUCUCGAGGAUUUACAAAAUACUCGUCGAUAAACGGAGUCGUGUCUACAAAAAUCACGUCUACAAGUUUCUCUACGGUAGCUUUAGAAAGAACAAAUUUUAGUAUGAUUUGAAAAAAUUAGUAGCACACAUUUCCUAUAAAAUAAAAAUAGGAGUUGCAAGCACCCCUUGCAUAGCUAAAACUUAGUAGACUUCAUAUAAGCAAAUGAUCGAUUUUAUAACUUAUUAAUAAUUUCAUGGUUAAAUUUUUGAAAUUAUUUCCAUACAACAAACUUUUCUUGUACAAAUGUUGAUACGAUAUACUUAUAUCAAAAGGCAGCAGUGGAUUUUGCCUCACCUACAUUGAGCAUGAAAUUUCUGAAGCACAACCAUCUUUUAUCCUUUUCCGUGAGGACGGGACUGAAUUGGGCUUCAACAUUACCUCUAUAAUCAUGGUUUCCCAAAACUACACAAAGAAAAACAUUAAGAAUCAGAAUAUAUAUAUAUAUAUAUAUAUAUAGGCACACACACACACACAAAAAGAAAGAAAAUAAAAUAAAUACACAAACAUAUUGUCUGGGGGGGGGGGGGGUUGGGGAGGAAUUUGAAAAAUUAGGUUUUUUAUUUAUGGGCGAAAAAAAGAAAUGCGCACACACCCCACAUAUUUGCUUUCAUGAUAAACUCUAAAAUUAAAAUCACUCAAUCUGUCAAACAAUUAAAUUAAUGCAAUUGAUAUCUAAAUUCAAUUAGUGCUAUAUAUGCUUAAAAUUAACGUUAAAAAGUUUAUCUGUCUCCUCCUUAUUUUCUUGAAAUGAAUAUUAUAAGAAAGCCCUUAAAUUUUGUUUAUUCUUUCUUUUUCUGAUUACAGUCCAACUUCCACGAUUCAAAUUGAUCAUGGACAAAAAUAUUUCGACUGGAAAACAAAGCCUUACAAGUGUAAUAUAUGCAGGAUCAUCCAUGCUUUUUUAUCCAUCUUCGUAGAAAUUGUCUCCAGUUGAGAUCACGGAAUCUAUACACGUCUAGCUUCUCCCCAUCCAUGAUUACCAAAUCAUUAGCAAAAGCUUUGGUGAUCAAGUCAUCAAGCAAGUUUUUUGUGUUACAGGGUUUUAUCUUUAGUACUUUUUAGAUUAAUUUUUCAGAUUUAUAUUAUUUCUUAUUCAGAUAUGUUGCAUUUGUCACUAAUGUAAACUUCGUAGCAAAAAAGUACAGCGGCCCACAUUCCUGUCGGAACGUGUGAGUAUAAAUCAUAUCUCCAAAAGGAAGAGAAAGGCCACAAAGAAAAUAGCAUCCUACUUCAUCAUUUCACCAAGUCGAAAGUUACCUAUGCUGACAAUUUUUUUGUUUAUUUCUAUGGUUUCUCUACAUUUUGAAACAUGAAAAACAACAGGCUCAUGCUGCAGCCAUAUGCAUACAUUUUUUUUAACGACUAAAAUUCUUUUGUAAACGAUGAUAAACCUACGUGAUAAAUGUUUUCGUUCACCGAUUAAAUUUUAGAGGGGCACAAAAAUGGGAAUGGUAAACAGUUUUUCGAUUCCAAAAUAUGUGAAGAUUUCUGAAUGCACAGACAAGUUCUAUCUUGGGUUGGUCCUUUCUUCAAAAGAGCUAGAAAACCUCCUGUGGUUUUUCAGCAUUUUAACGACAAUAAGAUUGAUAAAGAAAAAUUAGCUUACAAACCUCUGAUUUGUUGUAUGAUCCUUUUCUUCCCCAGUCUCCAACGAGAAGGAAGCUGAGGGAACCAUCAGCCAUUCGAGGGUGGUUUAAGCUUGGAAGCUCAGCGGCAGAAAGAUGGAAUCCUAAACUAAAAGUCCAAAGAAGAUACAGAUACAAGACUCAUCUGACUGAAGCAGGCAGGAUGACAGUUUCUCUUUCGAAGGAAGUUUGACAAAGAAACCGAGAAAGUUUUGCAGCUUUUUGGCUUCUGAAGAUAGCAUUUGUCUAUUGUUUGGCAUGCUGUAAUUCUGUGAGAUAAAAAAAAAAUGAUAUGCUGCAGCGUGCAAUUGAAUACAUAUUUAGAGAAAACUACACUUCAAAGGGUUCUGGCAUUGCAUGAAGAACAGGGCAAUGACAAAUGUAUAUUCAAGUUUACAUGUUAUGAUUUAUAUUUAUAAAUUUUUAUCUUUAUUCUUUAUAAGAAACUGAAAUUCACUAAUACAUGACCAUUUUAGCAAAGAUUUCAAGGUCCAAUCCAAAAACUUGCUGUCCAAUGGGACCUUUUCUUGCUGAAAGUUUAACCCUGUUAAAAACACGAACUAGUACCAAGGCCAACCAUAAAAGGCAGAAUGCAGCCCAUAUUCAUAUAGGCAUGUGCUCCCUUAUCAGUCGCCUUUAGAUCUACUAGUGUAAAAAUUUUACUGACAGGAUGCUCUUAAUACUUUUGAAGACAAACAAAUAGCAUGGGAGUGAACGUUUCACAGUGUUUCAGCAGAAUCACCCACAGGACAAGAAAAGAUGGAUCCAUGCUUUCUCCAGAGUGGAAAGCUUGUAACCAUUUCUUUAUGUAAAUUACAAGAAUAAGCUUCCCACUCAACAACAGCAGCAGAAAAACUACCCCAGUCAAAUAGAUCCUGCACUUUCUUUCCACAAUUUAGGUCCUUGAUAAAGGUCUCUGCCCGUUGAAGAUCUUGCAGAACCGCUGAUUUUAGACAAUUAAUAUCCUCCUGUUGUGCUUGGGAGAGUGGUUUAAUGUCCGCUGAGACUUCUUUGACUUCUGUUGCCUUCAAAGUCGACCACUUCCAAGAGUAAAACUGCGCCACCUGUUAGUUAAACAAUGGAACAGAAACUCAUUCUCGAAUCCGUCGACUUAAAGUACUAUGGUUAAAGAGAGUACCGUAAGAAAAGAAGAGGUUGAAGAGAGUACUGUAAGAAAAGAAGGAAUAACCAUAAGUUGCAACAACUAUUAAAAUAAAAAAAUCUUGAUUUACAGAUACAAAGUAGCCCGAAAGUAACCGCAGAGCUAUGAUACUGGCAGGGGUCAGGUAUUAGAAAUCUCACUUUGACAUUCUAAAGCAAUCUUGCAUUAAGAUAUAGCUUUCUAAAUUUUGAACUCAUUUUAUCUUGGCAUAAAAUAUUAAACCUUUAGCUACAGUGUAAACUUUACAGAAUUGAUCCAUUUAAAGUUCCAUCAAACCUUGGCUGAAACUAUACAUAUCAACUUUCAAGAAGAAUACACAGGAAACUUCAAUGAACUCUACCCAUGGUGAUAAUUCAACCCAAACUCGUUGCAGAAGAAGUAAUGAAAAAAGUUGAUAUGCACUUCUGAUUUGGCGUAUAAGACUAAAAAUUUCCUUCAAUAUGUGAGUCUGCCUAACUAUGACACAUCCUGUAUUGGAUAGCUAUUAAGCUCAGUCCACUUUCCUUCAAAUUGACAACCAGGUAGAACAACAAAAAUAGACUUGUCAAUGACUUACUAGACUUGAAUUAGUCCACAGCAACAACUUCACAUUAUGUAGAAUUUAUGAUCAACAUGAGUAAUUCCACAGCAAAUAAAAACAAGUUCAUUUCUGAAGAAAAGGUACCUGAAGGACAUGCAUUACGUUGACAAACUCCCUGUCAAACAAAUCAACUCCCCUCGCUAUUUGUAAUGACCCCAUCAGCAACUCUAGCAAGUUGUAUGAUGAAUUCACUGCUGAAGGACAUAUCUUCUCGUAAGGAGAAUAAAGAGCCAAUCCAAGCAUAUGCAAUCUUGCACAACGUAUGUCGAAUCCAGAUUGAAACUUCAAAGCUUCAUCAGGAGGAAACCAGUACAUGUUAUUGGAUGCUGGCUGAGGUAAAUAUGAGUUGAGCGAAUUUUGUGACAGAAAUGAAAUCAGUUUUGCAUCUUCAUCAUGAGAUGCAUCCCGACUGAACCACAGGGUAAGGGUGGUCCUUUCUCCUUCAACUAUCUGAUAAAAAAAAUAAAUGCCCAAAGAGAGAGAGAGAGAGAGAGAGAGAGAGAGAGAGAGAGAGAGAGGAGGAGAAGAAAGCAGAAUUCAGCAAAUACAUGAAGCAAAAUUCUUCAGUGAUGCAGGAAUACUUGUUAUGGGCAAGACUGUCAAGGAUAUAAUACAGGAGAGUCCAAUAUACAUCCACUAAUCGCUAAUUUGACACAAAACUACAGUUUCUCCUUGAAGGAAUGGCUUCUUUCUGCUGCUCUUUUAUCCUUGUCAAAGGCAGUCUAACUUAAAUCCAACAAUUUCUGUUGUAUGAAUAAUUGACAACUCCAUCCAGAGUAUUAAGAAAAAAAUUUACAUAUUGGCAAGUACAAAAGAUACGUAAUCCAGAAGAGCAUAUCCACUCUAUAUAAAUGUAUUUAGGAGUUUUUAGAUCAAGUAGCUGUGCCAAAUGUCAGAUCUAAGCAUUUAGAUUUCAUGUAACAUUCUCCAAAUUUAGGAAGAAGAUGUAUAUGGUAUUUUAAAUCAUGAUCUUAUGUGAUAAUCUACUUCAUCUUGGAACUUGAAUUUCAAACCUAAGUCUGUUCUUCAGAAGAGGGACUAAAGCAAGUCACCUUUCUACCUUCCCCUGAUAGAACUUUAGGGUUUCUGAUAAACCAACCGUCUUCCAGAUCUUGACUCUUGGUUUUACUAGGAAGCCUAGGUUUAUAUCAUAAAUUGGAGUAUGCCCAACUUUGGAAUUCCUCCUGCAGCAGCCUAUCUACUGGAUUGAAAUGCAACAUUGAUUAAAUUAGAAAGGUUCGACUUAGAAAUCCUGGCUAGACAUAAUAAUCAUCUGAGCAUAAAGACAGAGAAAGAUAAUAUCUAUAAAGAAACUACCUCAUCGACAGAAUGUAUGUUUCUGUUGUCUGCUGUGUACAUCACAGCAUCCUGAAAAGAUGCAGUAGCGGUUAAUCAGUGCAAGAAAGUCAUAAAUCAUCAGUAUAAUAAAAGUACGGCUCUCUAUUUAAGAGUUUACAUGCUCAGGCAAUGGCAAUAAGCUCGAGCUAAGAUUCUCAUUUUAACUAAACUACAAGAGUUUUCAAUUUCUUUUUUACAUAGUCUCAAUAUUACAAGAAAAUUACAGAUCAUGGGGCUUCAUGUUUACUUUUUAAUGUUCACUUAGUUAUACUCUAUUCAUUUCGUAGUAAUUGAAUUAGAAUAUAAUGCAAUUCAAAUGGUAGAACUAGAACUAAAAUGAUUAUGACUGCAUUUUCUUUCAAUAUGUAUUUGAAUCUGUAAGUUCUAAAGAAACAACCACAGAGUUUGCAUCUGCAUAUCUGUCAAAGCAGCUGACUUCAUUUCAAUCAACACUAUUGUUCAUUUACAUGGAAAAGUAGCAUCUAAGCUGAACACUUACUCCAGCCAUGGGCUCAAUUGUUGAUGGUUCCCCAUCCUGGAAGUGAAAGAGUCCUCCUCUAAAAUCCCCAUUGUAACUAUUCAAAUAACACACUGCCUUCAGCACAGAGGUACAACAAAAUCAGAAAUUCGAAACAGGAAAGUAAUGCAGUUAAAAAUGGAUUUUUCAAUCACAGAUGAGCAAUGAAAGUUGCCAACAUCAAGUUUUUUCCUUUGGUAAGGUAUAGAUAUUACUUAACACUUGGCAAUAAAUACUCCUAGAAGAACGUACAAGAACGAAAGAAUCAUUUCAAAUUCUUGAGCAAAUCCACCAAAGAUACAUCACAAAUUAAAAUACAGAUAAUAAGAAAAUUUAAUGCACAUUAGUCCAUUAUCCAGGCUAUAGACUGAAUCUUUUAGUUUGUCUACUAAUCUGGAAAUUAUCUUAGUCAAACUUAUCCUCUAAAAGCACAAAAAACCAUCUUUUUUGCACAGGAGACGGAAAAAGAAGUAAAAACAUCCAUGCUUGCCUAGAAAAAUAUUUUUUAAUAUCAUCUUUCUAAAUCACCAGGGCAAAUGAAAAAAAAAAUUCUUUUUUUUUUGGGGCAAAUGAAAGAUGUAAUAUGUUCACCGCAAGCUAUAAAAAGAUGUUUCAUCUUGCUUGGCCAAACAAAUACUAUUCAGUUAAUAAUUGAUAUUAUUUCAGUCAAUGAAUAAGGGCAAAUAUGUGUGCAAUUAUGCAUUUGAGUGGGUGUAAAGAACAGCUAAACAGCAUACAUCUUCACAUUCCACAGACAGCGAAUCAUGUGUAUAUUUAAUUUCCACAAUGAACCAUUUACUUUCUGCAAUUUUAUAAAGUACACCUCCUUUAUUGUUUUACAUUUUGUGAGAUUAUUAUCAGACAAUGACUGACUGAGACAAAACGAAAUAGAAAACAAAGAUCAAUUCCACUUAGAUCAAAAUUAAACAGCCAAAUGCUAAAUGAGAAGCAGUAUAUUCUAGAACAAUACUGAAAUUGCUAUACCACUGUGUAGAAAGAAAAAUAGGAUAAAAUAGUGGAGGAAUGAAAGAGAGUAAAUAUACACACCGCAAAAUCUCUUUGUUUUAGAUAAAGCCUGUUAUCAUCACUGUGCCAUCCAAUAUUUGCUCCUUUAGUCCAGCUAAUUCAUCAAACAUGUUAGAGUCAGUUGUUUCACCAGAAUAUGUUCCAUGUAUAAAGAACUAAGCCAGGUAAAGAACGCUCAGUCAGGACAAGAUAAAAACUACAACUCGGAUGAAGUAGAGAAAAACUUGGACAAACAAGAAUAAGAGCAAGCCAUAUAUACUAUCCAUAUGAGAGAAUAUACGACCGAUCAAAGUGAAAAAAAUGGUAAGAUGAAAACUACGACCAGCUACUAACCACUUUUGAAGCCUAAUAAUUCUGGCUAAUUCGUCAUUAAAAUAUAAUAUAGAUGUUUAACUCAUAAAGAUGGCACAAAUAGCAUUUGUAUUGACUUGCAUACUAAAUGUAUAUUAUUUUCAUACGUUUAGUAGCACAUUUCCAACAAAAAUACUACAAAAUCCCUUAAAAUAAUUAGCCCAAAAUCAUGCAGUAACAGAAAUUAGGCAUCCAAGUGCAGCCUUUUCACAAGUUUUCCCUAGUUACUGAACAGCCUAGUGCAAAUUUCUUUCUUUCCCACUCUUUGAUCCUAUUCCACUAAUAACCAUUUUCCAUAUAAAUCUAAUCCUGCAAAACAGAAGAGACAUAUACAACCAGCCUUCCAAAACUCAGCCAAACCUGAUGAGGCCAGUGAAUUCGAUGACCAACUCAUAGUGGCAUCCAAAAUACCCUUCCACUGUCUCCCUCAGCUUUUCUACAUUUUUAUAGAAAACCCACUUUAAAAACAUCAAAAUAACAGAACCCACAAACUAAAAAUUCAAACUACCAAAAAAGAAAAAGAAAAGAAAUUAUAUAUUAAAAAUCUUUUUUCUUUCUGGAGGAUUUUGGCAAAAAAAAUGAAAUGAAAGAACCUCUAAUGGGAACAAAGGGCAUGAUCAGGUGCGCACAAUUAGUAGCAAUUAGAUGAGAAAGAGUUGUGGAGAACACAUUUGGCCUGUAUCCAACUGUGCAAUUGCUAUUGUGUAUGAACUCCAGUUCCUACCCAAAAAAAAACAUAUGGUUUCAAGAAAUAUUUGAUUUAGAAGUUCAUGAUACACAAAAACUUCAUUAUAGAUAAAUGAAAUGAAACCUUGCAAAGGUCCGGAGAAAGAAAGUUGUGGAGGAUGAGACGUGGGUGCUCCUCAGUCUCCUUUGCCAUUGUUGUGAACCAAAAACUUUUCAGCUGCUUGGAAAAAUGGAAAAUUGACUAAAAAGAAGAAGAAGAAGCUAUGGAAAGAGAACUGGCAAAACAGGGUGCGAUUUGAAUCUUCUUUAUUUUGAAGGGUAUUUGAGCAAAUUUGUUUUUUAUUUUAAUUUUUUUAAGCAAAAUUACAUCUAUUUGGUUGCAAAUUGUUAUUUAUAAAUUUUCAUUACAAAUUGUUCAAAAUUACAUUUACUCUAUUGAUUAAUCAAUCAUUAUAAGAUCACCCUUUUCAUAAAUUUCUAAGUAAAAACAAUAAAUUUGUUACAACUUAUAGCUAUUUUUCAAUGGCUACAAAUCAAAUUUUGUGAAUUGAAAUAUCGUACACAUAGCUAUUAAAGUUACGGUACUUUUGAUAAUAAAAGCACUUUUAGCUGCUAAAAAUAACUUUUUGAGUCUUUUUUUUUUUAGUAUAAGCAGAAGGACUCGAACAGAGACCUCUUGCUUACACUUCCUCUCCAUGCCACCCAUACCAUUCCUCCCCCCAACUUUUUGAGCCAUUUGAAGAACAUUAUCUCAUAAAAUUAGGAGUGAAGUUUUUAUUAGCAAAAGCACUUCUAACAAAAGUUCAAAUUUAAUGCUUUUAAAAUACUUUUUGCGUUUUAAAAAAAUAAAACAUUAAAUUUAAUCAUUUUAUCCUAUAUUAUGAACUAAAUAAACGAUAAAAACAUUUAAAAAUUUUUAAAUUACACGUUAUCCAAUACAUUAAUUACUUAUUAAACUAUGUAUCCAAAUAGUAUACAUAAAAGCAUUAAGCACUUAAUAAGUGUUUUUAUCAAAAGCUAUAUUGGUGAAGUAAUUUUCAAUAAACUACCAUAACUUCAAACGGACCCUUAAUACUUUUUAAAAUUCAUCUUGGUUUUUUUUUUAUUUAAAACAAAUUCUAGGUUUAGUUUAAUUGAAUUUUUCUUAAAAGACUGAUAAAGAUAUGUAUCUAUUACUAUUUUGAUCAAUUGGACUUUCAUUCAUCAUCAAUUUAUUCUUUUUUAAGAUAUUUAUCUAACAAUUUGUGCUCACUGAGCCAAGUACAAGAAGUGAGCAGCUGAUUGCGUUAUUAUUUCAUUAAAUUGUGGAUUUGGCUCAAACACUGUAAAGCAAUCCUUUGGUGAAAUAAUAAAUUAUUAAUCUCAAACGAUCUCUACUCGUCUCAAGCUUGAUAAGUAUUUAAGUAGCUUGCUUUGGAUAUAAUAAUGCUUUUUGAAGUAGUUUAUGUAUAGUUUCCUAUCUCAGUAUGAAAAUUUUAAUCAGUCUCAAAUUUUGAAGGGGAAACUUUAAAGCUAACAGGAAGAUUUGAAAUUCUAUGUAGGAUGUAACUUUUGAAAAAUUUGUAAAUGGCGUAUCACAUAUAUACGUUCAUAAAUUGUUUUACAAAAAAAAAAAAAAAAAACUAUGCUGUGAGAAUUUACGAAAUUACCCUUAGCACAAAUACAUUUUAAUUUUAUAUUUUAAAUUUAGUUGAAAAUUUUAUAAAAAUUUGAGAAUAGAGGAGUCAAGUAAUAUUUUUUGAAUUUCUAGAGGCUAAGUGAUAUUGUUAGAAACCUUAGAACAGGUUUCUGAAAUUACCCCACGAAAUUAACACUAUACUCGUACCUUUAAGUCACUAGGAGUGUAGGAGAUAUAAACCACAAAUCAAUUCAUUACCCGCCAGACAUAGUAAUUAACACUUCAGAUUAGCGCAAUGUUAUUGACCUCAAAGAAUAUUAUAUCACCCCAAAAAAAGAAUUUUAUAUCACCAAAUUCUAAUUUUGGGUGAAUUCGGAUUUGAAGCCUCUCUAGUUGGAUUCCUCCAGUUCUGUUCAAUUGUGUAAAUUGACACAAUUUUGACGUAAGUUGAUAUACUUUUGGUCUAAUUGUGAAUUUACACCAACAUUUACAAUAAUAAAGUAUGUGUUAGUAAAUAACUUGGUGUUAAUUUUGUAUUUUUUUUUAAAUUUACCCUUGUCUCUAUUUUCCUUCAAACCUUUAUCUAUACAAUAUAUAAAGGAAGAGCGUCACUUUGUGGUGAAAUACACCGUGUCGUCGUUCUUUAAAAUUUCUAAUAUACCCUCAAUUAUAAGAGCAAAUUUGUCUCAAUUGCAAAUAGCUAUUUGAAUCAUAAGGUAAUUAUCUAUUCAGUUAUCAAUUUACUACAACUUUCUCAUACUAACUUCCAACUCCCACAUAUUCUUCUCCAAUUCCAUCAUGUCCGUUUCAUGUAUGAUUAUCUACAUUAUAAUAGAAUUUGACCCAUAAAAUCUAUACAAAAAAAAAAAGCCUUUUAAAGAGAUAAUUGUGAUAAACAUAUUUUUUUAUUAGUUGCAAAUGCGUUAAAGUGUGCCUUAAGCACUAGUAGUUAUAAUUCACUUUUAUAUCAAAAUUGUAUUGGUUUACACAACUGGAGAGAGCUAAACUGUAGAAACCAUGGUUCAAAGUCGUCGUCAUGGCCCAGACCAUUCCACAUCAACCUCAGUAUAUCAGUUGCGAUCUUAGCGAAAUGCAAAUUUUUGAAACAUUUAAUAUUCUAAAAAUUGUAAAAAAUAUAUAUAUGAUAAACAAAAAUAAUAAAAAAUUAACAAAAAUAAUAAAAAUUCGAGUUGACUCGGUAUGACUCGUUGCGAUUCAGCCGUUUCUUUCCGUCUCAAAGACAUCUCGGCCGAGUUCUUGGUGACUCGGUCAAGUUUUCGACGAUCCAUUAUCUCGAAAUCAUUUCGUCUCGGUAUCGGAACGGAAAGUCCCGUUCCGGUGACGACUCAGUCAAGUCUUUGAUCCAUGGUAGAAAGUAGAAACCCCAUUUCCCGUAAAUUCAACACCCUUCAUUAAUAUGGUAGCCAGUCAAUGGCUGCAGACUACAUCUCCUUCUAUUCACCACACAAAGAGGAGAUAGAGAUAGGGAACGAAGAUAUUUGAUCUGAAAUCUGAGCAAAGCCUCGGCUAAACUCUAAUGGAGAAUUUUGAUGAACUUGCACUCAAACCCGCUUGCUCCAUCUCUUGUUGGGGAGGAAGGAUACUAUCUCCGGUUUGGAGAGGAGGUCAAGGACAAAGGUACAUAGGUGAAAUGUUGUUUGCAAUUUGUUAGUUACAUAAUACUCCCCUCCUUAGUAUCUUGAUUGGCAAUCUCACAAUCAUGUUCUUGAUAUAAUUGGAGUCUUCAUGUUGAAAAUUCAUGUUCCAUGAAAAUAUCAGUAUCAAUAUCGUAAAUAGAUUCAACAUGGUCGAUCAAUCGUCCUAUGGUCGGAAUGGUUAUAUCCAAUAUUAAGAAAUGUUAAGACCUAGCAGUUUUUACAGUUGGAAUGGUCAUAUUUAGUAUUAUGAAAUGUUUACACCUACAUCAAUUGAAGAUAUAUUCAGAGAAAUACUUGAAUGGAACAUGAUAGUAAAAAGAAUUGUCAAAUAAAUUAACAACUUUAAAUUUAGCUCACAAAAAGAUGUGUAAACAGAACUUAGCAAAGGAUGUAAACCAAUUGAAAUAACAUAAAAUGACAAUAAACAAGAGCCUUAGGAAAAAAUUCAGAUGGGAAAAGUUGCCCUUACAACACCAGAACAAACUAGUGGCAAAAGGAUGUCAAUCGGGAUUUUCCUGUGUAUUGAUGUUUAGCACAUGAAAGGAAAUCACGUAUUUAGUUUAGAGUAACUUUUUUUUACAUAUUGUCAGUGUAUAAUUUUUUUUUUUUACAUAAGCAAAUUUAGAUCAUAUCACAUAACAUGAAUUUAAAUUUAAAAUUCAAACCAUGCAUAUAUGACAUACAUUUAAAGCUACCAACGCAAAAAAACUCACUCCACUACGGGUGCAUAAAAAAGUCUAGUAGUUUUCAUGGCCAAAAGAUUAGUUUGUAAAGACAUUCUUUAGAAAUUUAUUUCUGUCUUACAAGUUUUUACAAAAUUGGAUUUUGCUCCUAUAGAAAAUUGAAAAUCUUUAGAGAUGUUCUCUAGAAUUUUAAACUUUUAUCUGACAACAACCUUAAUAAAUAUUGUAUUAUAUAUUUAAGUUUAGAUUUGUUAAAUUUCACCCCCUCAACUUAAAUUUUGUUUGAUUCCAUCCCUAUUCACAAUCCUAUACAUUGUUCUUAAACAAGCAUUGUAAGAUUAAAUCAAAGCUUUGUUUUGACAUAACCAUCAUUUAUUUUAUUUCUCAAAAUUUCUUUUCCCAUCAAAAUAAAGAAGAUAUUCCGAUUAUGUGGAGUUUCAUUUUUAUUACGAGCUUAUUGCUUAGAGAUGGAAUCUAAAUUUUAAAGCUAGUGCAAAAAGCCUUCUAUUUAAUUUAAUGCCUUGUUUAAUAAUUCUCAUAUAAACUUCACAUAUAUUCGACUUUUUAGUUAAUAAGUUCACAAGUAGUGCAACUUCAACUACAGUUUACUGCCAAAAAGGUUAGAUUUGAGAUUCUUUCGAGCAAGUAAAUAAAGAAAACUAUGAGCAUUGCAUCAACAAAUCCAGUCAGACGGAUUUCAUAUACAUCACUAGAUGAUUCCCACAGAGGAUCUUCUGUCCCACUUUUUUGUAUAAUUUUUUGUCCCAACAUUUAUUAAAUCGCCAUAUAUUCUUCAUGAGCAUCCAAUUUGAAUUUUUUCUUGUCCCUUAAGUUCCAACACUAUUAACACAGUAGAAUAUAAAAGGUCACAGACUAAAAAAAAAUAAAAUUUAACUACAAAAUGGGUUUUCAAUAAUUUUUUUGAUAUUUUUUGUUUAUCUGUUAUAUAUCCUUAUUUAGUUUGUUAUUUUUCUACACUAUAAGCAAUUAUUCAAACUUAAAGGGACAAGAAAAAAUUAAAAUCAAAUGUUCGUGAAGAAUAUAUGGCGAUUUAAUAGAUGUUGAGAUAGGAAAUGAUAUAAGAAGUAAGACAGAAGAUCCUUUUGCAGACAAUUCCUCAACAAAACUUAACAAGGAAAAAUGAUUCAACUAUUUGAAUGGUGUGUAAAUAUAUUUAAUGUGUAUUUUAUAUGUAUAGUUAUAUAUGUUUAUGUGUGUUUCGAUGUUAGUUUGAGCUGAAAGAAUCUACUUUUAGUUGUUUUUGUAAUUUAAUAGUUUAAGGAAAGAAAAGUGAAGAACUGAUUGAAUUGAUACUUCAAAGUAUGCAUUUUGCUAGAUGCUUGAGAAGUAGUAGUAUUUUUUUUUCUUAUUUGAAGUAGCACAAGUUGGCUGAUGACAUUGAACACAAAUAGCUUUACCCUCAAAAAAAAAAAAAAAAAAACACAAAUAGCUUUGGAAACCAUGGAAAAUACAUGGAAGUGCUCAAGGAAACCCGCGCCGGUUGUUAAAACUGAUUGUGGGCUGCUAGCAAUUUAAAGAAGAGGCGGGAUCCAAGUUUCGUAAAGGUAGUAUAUAGUAUCUUUUUGCUAGAACUAAUCACAGUUUUCACCCCUAUCUAAACUUUUGAAAUUUUGUACCUUUUUUCUUUUUACCCUUGAUCCCCUCCCCAUCCUUCCCAGUUCUCACCCUCAACAGUCAAAUUUAAAAUUCAAAUCUUAAACUUAGCAGUGGAGAAAACUCUAAGAACCUUAUCUUAAUCACUGGACUAAUCCCAACGAUUGAAUUUUUGUACUUAACCGCUUUAAACUUAUAAUUUCUAGCACAAUUUUAUUUAAGAUGACACCAAUAGAAAAAAGAGUGCUUAUGACUGAUGUGCACUCAUAUUUAGUGUGAACUAUUAAAAAAAAAAAAAACCCAAAGUAGACUAAUUUGAAUUUUCAACAAUAUCCUGAGAACUCUUUUGCCAUUUUCUUUUGCUUCCUUUUUCACUAAAAAUCAUCAUCCCCUUUACACCAAACUACUUUCUCGUACACUCUCUCUUUUUGUUUUUCUCCCUGUGUGAUUCAUUAGUUUUCGCUCUUUUCUCCCACAAAAGAGUUCACUUCUCUCACAAAAGCUAGCUGUAACUUCAGGGACAAAAGUUUCCAAAGGUUGAAACUGUCCUUUUAUAAACACAUGGCCGACAAAAAAUUCCAGGUGUUGAAAGUGUCCUUUCAUAAAUGCAUGGCCGCCUGCAACUCGUUUCAGUCUGCCGGAGUUGUUUUAACCGGAGUGUAUGUGAUAAAAAUUGUAAGUUCUAGGUAUCUAAGUGCAAAAAUUAGAAAGUGUAGGGGCCAAAGUUUUGGUAAUACUGUGUGAUAGUUUAGGAGAGGAAACUGCAAUUAACCCUAAAUAAUGCAAAGCAAAAUUUACUUUGUCACACCGUGCUCGUCUCUUUUUUUAUUCAAAACUAUUCUUGAAAAUUGUUUGUUCUCUCCCUGUUUACUUCUAGCGAUAGAAGUCAAGAAACUAUCCCAGGGUGCUAAAAACUGAGAAACUCCAAAAACAUUCUUCAUUGGCAUUCACCUUUCAGAGUUUGUGGACCUUAGCAAUCCAGGCUUGAAAGGUACUGUAUUUCUUCCCUCCCCUGUUUGCCCAAACAGGCAACAAUUUAAAUUGACCACCAAAAGGCCAUUAGACAAAAUUGUGCGAAUGAGUGUGGGAGAGAUGGUUGCUCAAGAGUGUGGAAGCAAGAUCAGAUAGAAGAGUGUCUAGGAGAUGGAACUACUUCGAAAUUGUGUGAAAGAGUCCCCUAGCUAAUAAAUACUCUUUAAGAAUCCAUAUAGUAUUGACACAACAAAAAAGCAGCAGCAAGCAGAGGCAUUAGACAAAAGACCAGAUUAACACCUUUCCCCAUGCCCUGCUGUAGGUGUGAAAAGUGUAAGUAUCAAUUUUGCCGCUCUUUACAUUUGCUUCAAAACUCAACUAUAUUUUCG
This 48324-nucleotide long non-coding RNA is filed under the name Coffea arabica (coffee). RNAcentral describes it as "long non-coding RNA (CARA_LNC007528)". Lineage: Eukaryota; Viridiplantae; Streptophyta; Magnoliopsida; Gentianales; Rubiaceae. The record is from RNAcentral.